CAACUUUAACUGGAAUGGGCACAGAAUAUGUCAACACGAUAGGUUAUAAACCUCAAGUCGUGUGCUAGUGAAGAACUUUAGGUUUUAUUCUUGAUUAGUUCUUGAGACUUUCAAGACCUUUAAGACUCCCACUGUCCUCUUGACAUAUAAGACUCCCUUGUCAAACAUCCAAGAGAUAGUGCGGAUUCUAAUCAAGACAAACACUUCACACAAUUGGCCUAAGUUGGUCUUUGUUUUAUCCAAAACAUCACAACCUACCAAUUUCAAAUGUACGAGAGUAGAAAUCUUUUACUCUUACAUUUAACAAGUGUUUUAAACCUUCUUUAAGACAUGUCACUCAAGUUACAAUCUUGGAGUAUGACUCUAAGACUUGUUUUGGAACGAAGUAUGACUCAUCUUCUUGAUUUAACCAUUUCAACAAUUCAAGUUCCUCUUCUUAGUCAUAAGAAUGCACUAAGAUUUCCUUAGAGAACUAAUUUUGAUAUGGUUUCUUAAUCAUUAAGAUGAUCACAAAACUGAUACUAAAGUACUCUCCCAUCUUUUCAGAUUUGAGAAACUUUUAUCCUUCUGCCUAAUUUGAUUCUUCUUAUUCGCCCUGCCAUACAUUGGAACCUUUUCCAAUGUCUCAGAGUUACACUUAAGCUUGUAAGUAUAAUCAUAUUUACUGAGCUUUAGUAAACUAUGACGAAUAGUCUUAUCAAUCUUUUGUGGUGGACUUAAUCAGUGCACAAGAAUGUGUACUCGAUCCCUUAGUCCUUUACUUGACUCACACAUCCAUGUGGCCGAGUAAUUAGUCUUAAUUUUCCAAAACUUGAAAGUUCUCAUUCAUCAUGCUAUACAACUUGCAUGAUUCCAAGUUCCGGUCCAAUUGAAACUUGGGUGAUGAGAAUCUUUCCUUAUUUGGUAAAUCUAGACAUUACCACAAAUGAAAGAAUCAAUUUCAUAUUUCCACUCUUGCUAUUAAUGGAAUCAUAUAAGCAACAAUUUUUCCUCAAAUGCCAUUGUAAGGAUAUUUUAAAAUAAAUAAAAUCAAAAAUUUUCUUUUAUUUUAAAACUUUGCGGAAAAACUUAUCCUUACAAUCCAUAUGAAAACUUGUUGUUAUCUAUUCCUAAGCAAUAUCUCAUAACUCCUAAGAAGUUGCUCAAGAAUCCGAUCUUCAAACUAUGCGAUAGAAAUCCAUCUACGCCAUCAGAUUCAGCAUAUUCUUUCUUUAAGUUUCUUCACUUUUCUUUGAUUCUUAAAACAUCACCAUGUGACCCAGUCACAUCAUGUAUCAGGAAUCUCAGAAUAGAAACUUAACAGAGUUAGAUAGUGGUCUUUACCUGAAGUAGAGUCAAACUUAUUGACUUUAACAUCCUUAGGUAAAUUUGGCAGCUUCGCAACCAAUGCCCCUUCCCUUGGCAAUAUAAACAUAUGGACCCUUUGAUAAUGGUACACGAGACUAUCACAGACUUAGCUUUUCUCUUUACCAUUUGGUCAACCGAGUUGACUAUGGCCGAUCCCUUUCCAUUGGGAAGAGAAUGCUUUACUGGAUAUCCAAUGUCAUCAUUGUCAAUGUCCAUAAAGUUUUAGGAAGUUGAUCUUAGCAAAUAGAUAAGAUCAUUAAGGGUCUUGUCAUAGUCUGUUUCAUAGGUGUCCCAAAGGAACUCACUAUGUGACUUAGAAAGUGAUUGAACCACCAACUUUCUCAAGACUUUGACACCCAACUCUCCCGGCUUGUCAAUAUGUGACUACAUCUCCAAGAUGUGAUCACACCUAGACCUUGCCUUGCCAAUAGGGCUUGAGUGACCUUAAACUUUUCAAGAACUUGUGGGUUAGGGAGAAUAAUUGGAGGAGGUGAAAGAAGUAUGAUUUCCAAAGGACAUCAUCUUCAUUUAGGAAACCUUGUUUCACUAGAUUUGGGAAGAUCAUAGGUGUCUAUUACAGACAUCUUUUGGGAGAUAUUCAAGAUAGUUGAUUUAAAGUCCUUAAUAUGACACCCAAUAUGAAAUAUUAAGGCUAGGACCCAACAAACUAUUUUAUAACUUAGAAGAGGUAUGCCGUAAUCCAAGCUAUAAAAUAUUUGAAGGUAGGUGAAUGACGAUUCACCAAUUUCCACCAAGAUAAACGAAAUGUAUUAUUAGGUUUUAAUUGGUUUUGAAACUCCUAGAUCUUUGAGAUUCAUUGAACUGUUCAAAGGCAUGUUUCAAUCUCGAGUGUGCCCUUCAGGUUUUGUGACUGGGAUGCCGAGGAUCACAAAACAAGGUGUGAAGUAACCAUGCAAAUCACUUGGUACCCUUAAUAAAUUACCCCUCAAUCGAUGUGCCGGUUAACCACACACGCUCCAUCGAUACUAUGAUAAAUAUUAAGUCACCCUUUACCUACCUUGUUAAGUCCAAGUUAGUGUGCCGGUUAACCACACACGCUCCACUAACGACUUAGACAAAGUGUAAAGUGUAAUUUCAUGGAUUAGCACCUUAUUCACAUUUUUCCUAAGUAACUAAGAUUGGGUAUUAUUAAGAGUUUAGUUACUUAGUAUUAUCAUUAAUACUUUUAAUGAAGGGAGAAUUCUAGUCCUGUCAAACCCGUUCGGCUAACGACCCUCCACCAGUCAAGCAAGCGGUGGGUGAGAGUGGACACCCAUUAAGUUGCCAUUUUAUAGGCAACAACCUUAUACCCACCUUAUAGACCGGCUUCGUGAAUGAGGCGUACUAGCGGUAAGACUGACUUUACUCUUAUACAUAUAUAUAUUAUUAACUUAUAAUAUUAUAAAGUAUAAGGGUUGAAUUUUAACUUUUAAAAUUCUAAGGGCUAACUUGGAAUUAAAGUAUUCAUAAGUGAAAACUUUACAAAUUCCAAAACUUGAGGGCAAGUUUUGAAACUAUUCAAAACUAAUUAAUUCCAUAACUUAUGUGUUUAAAGUAGUUUUAAUCCAAAAACUCUUCAAGUUCCAUAACUUGAGGACAAGUUAUGGAAGACUUUAAACUAAUAAAAGAAUUAACUUUUCUUUAUUUUAUAACUUAUGGAAUUAAUUAAGGUUACACUUUUUUUUUUUUUAUUUUAUUUUAUUAAAUGAAGAGACUCUUGGUCCUCCAUAACUUGAGGACAAGUUAUGGAGUCAUAAAACCAUUUAAUUAGAACUAGACUCUUCAUUUUUGUAACCUUUGCCAAUUUUUAUGAGUUUUAUGAUUCUUAAAUGUGACUUUUCAUAUAACUUGAGGACAAGUUACAAAAACACAUUUUAGAAUCAAUUCUUAGAUUAAUUUGGAUUAAAACCAACUAUCACAUAAUUUUAUUCAUUAAUCUAAAUUCACUCAUAAAACAAGGUAACACAAAAAACUUUUGGUGAUCCAUAACUUAUUCUUAAGUUAUGGAAUCCUUUAAAACAUUAACACCAAAUUUUGUAACUCCAAAAAAACUUUGAAUCAAUUUUUUUUUUAAAACCUUUUCAUAUCCAUAACUUAUGGAGGUUUCAAAAAAUAAAACUCUUUAGAUCAAACUUUUAAAACUAAUAAAAUAAUCAUAUUAUUUUAUCUUUUAUUAAAUUUGACCUAAUUCAACUCAUAAAGCAAAUUAUUCAAAUUUUACAAAUAAUUAGUUUUUCACAAGAACAAGUAAUUAUCUUAAAAUUUGACAAACUUCAUGUUUUUUUUUUUUUUUUUUUUCAACUUUGAAAAUAAAAUAUUUGCAUCAAUAUAACAGAAAACAACCCGUGGCUCUGAUACCACUGUUGGGUUUUGAGCAUUCUAACACUUCCUAAGUGUACAUGCAACCCUAAAUACCUUGGAUCUAUGUUUUCUCUAUUAUACAUGCAAAUAAGAACUUCCAAGGUAUUAUCCUAAUCUAGCAUACAAAACAAUAACUUAACAAGAUAGAAUACAUACCUCUUGAUGUAGAAAGUCUUCAUGAAGCUUGAGUGCCUAGCCCCAAUAGUGUGGAAGCCUCAAAUGGAAUCACAAUCACCAAAACACUUAGAAUAACUUGAGAGAAUUCUACAACUCAUGAAAUCGGCUAGCCCUUUUACUUCACACACUAGUGGCCGAUUUUGGUCAAGAAUAAGAUGCUUAUAUAGUUAGGGUUACACCAUGUAAGCCUUAAUUGACAUGGCCUUUCAUUUCCAUGAUCCAUGGGUACAAAUACACCAUGGAGCAUCCAUGGACCAUCCUAUGGGGUUUAGCCCAACUUGAUUAUCCAUGGAGCAUUAGCCCACUAUACAAGUAUGGAUGAUUUACACAAUCAACCCAUAUAUUUAAUUAGUCUUCUUUUGAUCACUUAAUUAAUCCUAGAUUAAUUCUUGAUCAAUACUAAUUAAAUAAUCUUAUUAUUCUUAUUAUUAAUAUACUAGAACUUAUAAUAUAUUAAUAACCAUAAGUUUCUUAUUUCUCUCAUUAAAGUCUAUCCAAGUGCAUGAUGCCAUGCAACCCAAAUGGACCAUGUUGGGUCGGGUCAAGUCUUACCAAUUUUAGUUAUGGACUUAGACAUUAAUCCAACAAAAUCCCUUACUCUACGCGCGGAGUAUUGCCCUCGGGGUGAAAUCCAGAAGCUGGAAUACGAGCUAUGGAACCUGAAGAUGAAAGGUUCUGAUAUCGCCUCUUACACUUCAAGGUUUGAUGACCUGGCACUCCUUUGUCCGGGAAUGGUUAGCCCGGAAAGCAAAAAGGUAGAAAGGUUCAUUUGGGGAUUAACCCAACCAACAAAAGGGAACGUUAUACCAGUAAAGCCAGAUACCUAUGACAGCGCCAAAUGUCUAGCACAAACCCUGAAGAAGCAGAUGCCACUCCCAAGCCAACAGAAAAGAGUGGCGAGAAAAGAAUGUUUUGGAAAAAGAAGAAGAAGAGUCAGUCUUCCCGAGAACUCUCAAAGAAACAGCAAAUGGUGGCAGUCCACGCUGUCUCUAUCCCUGCAGCUGUUUCUGUUGUCAAUUCCACAUCUCAAGCACCUGUCACCGGAUAUGUCGGUAUCCUCUCAUGGUGUAACCGUUGCAGCUACCACCAUCGCAUCCCUGGCCCUUGUCGUGCAAAGAUUNGCCCUUUACUUGGAGUUUACGGCCCAAGAGGUUGUUCCUUGGCCGUAAACUCCUCAAACUACUUGCUUUUGAUUUGUUUCUAGCCUCUAAUGAUCAUACACUAAGUCCUUAGUUAGAUGCCUAACACGGAAAUGGGACUAGGUGGCCUUUAGGCUUGAUUUUGGAGUUUACUCCCCAAGAACGUUCUUGGGCGGUAAACUCCCGGAUCUUGUGUUUUGGACAUGUAAACAAUGUUAUAAAGCAUAUAACAAGUAUUAAAACACAUUUAGGGAAGUAGACUCACAAUCUGGGAUGAAAACCCGAAGAUCCGUGAGAGAGUAUUUGGCUUUUCUCUAAAUGGAAAUCAAAUAAUGAACCAAUUUGGUUCAGAAUUCUAUUUAUAGUCCAGAGAUUUUUGGCAGAAAAUAUUUCUAUUCUCGGAAUGGAUUCUAAUGACCUAGAGUAAUGGAAUUACAGUGUUGCACAAAAUCCUAGUGCACCCACUCUCCUAAUAACUCCUUAGGUGUAAAACCCUAAAACUGCCAAACUUAUUCCAAAAGUUUGAAUUUUCACUGAAACUGCUCUACUUCCAUUGGAUUGAUGUGGUUUGAUUUGAAUGGAAAAUUUCGGGUUGUCACAGUUAAGGGGUAUGAACUCACCUGCAGUAUGUGACUGGAAUUGAACGGGCUGUUAUCGUACGGAAGGAUCAGACAAGUGCUUGGUGUCAAGUGAAGACUUAGACACACACAAUGAUCCUAAUUACAUAUGAAACAUAUGUAUAUAAAUAAUUAGUGAUUAUAACACUAAUUAUACAAGUAAUAACAUUUAAGCGCGAGGACAACACUUUUGGUCAAGUGCUAGGAGGCUAAUGGGUUGCAACAAAGAAGUGCAAUGCCCCUAAUGAAAGUUUAAGGUCAAAAGACCAUAUUCAUUAGAGUUUACGGCCCAGGGGAGUAAGCUCCUGGCCGUAAACUCUCAAACAAGUCAUGAAAUGGAGUUUAAAAGUACUACAACCUUAGAGGGGAAUUGUUUCAAGGCUAUACAAGUGUUUGGGCACCACAUUGACUCCUUUGGGGAGUUUACGGCCCAAAGACCCUUCUCCCUUGGAGUUUACGGCCGUAAACUCCCUUGGGAGGGUUCUUAUUGUCCUUUCAAGUCUCUAACAUUUCUAGGAACAAGUCUAGGCUUCAAUACUUGGAUCAAGGGAGGUUUAUGGCAUUAAAUGGAACCAUUUGAUGGAGUUUACGGCCAUAGAACUCUUUGGGCCGUAAACUCCCUCACACAUGAGGUUCUAAGAAUUUUAACUAGCCCAAAACUCAUCUAGGUACUUGCCCUAAAAGUCUCUUGGCCUAAGGAAGUGUCUAGGGUGUCCUUUGACCCCUUUAAAGGAGUUUACGGCCCAAGAAAUACUCUUGGCCGUAAACUCUUCAACACUUGAGCUUUUCAUGAUUUUUCUAGGUCCUAAACACAUUAAGGUACUAGCCAAAAAUGAAGACUAAGCCUUAGGAAGAGUUUGAAGUGGUUUUGGCACUUAAUCUUGGAGUUUACGGCCUAAGGAGCAUCUUGGCCGUAAACUCCCUUCCAAAGUUGGUUUCUAAUUGUUUUGUGGGUCUAAAUCAUGAGUUUAAGGCUUCUAGGUUCUUGUUCUAAGGCUAAAGGAACACUAGGCACUCAUUUGUGCCCUUUACUUGGAGUUUACGGCCCAAGAGGUUGUUCCUUGGCCGUAAACUCCUCAAACUACUUGCUUUUGAUUUGUUUCUAGCCUCUAAUGAUCAUACACUAAGUCCUUAGUUAGAUGCCUAACACGGAAAUGGGACUAGGUGGCCUUUAGGCUUGAUUUUGGAGUUUACUCCCCAAGAACGUUCUUGGGCGGUAAACUCCCGGAUCUUGUGUUUUGGACAUGUAAACAAUGUUAUAAAGCAUAUAACAAGUAUUAAAACACAUUUAGGGAAGUAGACUCACAAUCUGGGAUGAAAACCCGAAGAUCCGUGAGAGAGUAUUUGGCUUUUCUCUAAAUGGAAAUCAAAUAAUGAACCAAUUUGGUUCAGAAUUCUAUUUAUAGUCCAGAGAUUUUUGGCAGAAAAUAUUUCUAUUCUCGGAAUGGAUUCUAAUGACCUAGAGUAAUGGAAUUACAGUGUUGCACAAAAUCCUAGUGCACCCACUCUCCUAAUAACUCCUUAGGUGUAAAACCCUAAAACUGCCAAACUUAUUCCAAAAGUUUGAAUUUUCACUGAAACUGCUCUACUUCCAUUGGAUUGAUGUGGUUUGAUUUGAAUGGAAAAUUUCGGGUUGUCACAGUUAAGGGGUAUGAACUCACCUGCAGUAUGUGACUGGAAUUGAACGGGCUGUUAUCGUACGGAAGGAUCAGACAAGUGCUUGGUGUCAAGUGAAGACUUAGACACACACAAUGAUCCUAAUUACAUAUGAAACAUAUGUAUAUAAAUAAUUAGUGAUUAUAACACUAAUUAUACAAGUAAUAACAUUUAAGCGCGAGGACAACACUUUUGGUCAAGUGCUAGGAGGCUAAUGGGUUGCAACAAAGAAGUGCAAUGCCCCUAAUGAAAGUUUAAGGUCAAAAGACCAUAUUCAUUAGAGUUUACGGCCCAGGGGAGUAAGCUCCUGGCCGUAAACUCUCAAACAAGUCAUGAAAUGGAGUUUAAAAGUACUACAACCUUAGAGGGGAAUUGUUUCAAGGCUAUACAAGUGUUUGGGCACCACAUUGACUCCUUUGGGGAGUUUACGGCCCAAAGACCCUUCUCCCUUGGAGUUUACGGCCGUAAACUCCCUUGGGAGGGUUCUUAUUGUCCUUUCAAGUCUCUAACAUUUCUAGGAACAAGUCUAGGCUUCAAUACUUGGAUCAAGGGAGGUUUAUGGCAUUAAAUGGAACCAUUUGAUGGAGUUUACGGCCAUAGAACUCUUUGGGCCGUAAACUCCCUCACACAUGAGGUUCUAAGAAUUUUAACUAGCCCAAAACUCAUCUAGGUACUUGCCCUAAAAGUCUCUUGGCCUAAGGAAGUGUCUAGGGUGUCCUUUGACCCCUUUAAAGGAGUUUACGGCCCAAGAAAUACUCUUGGCCGUAAACUCUUCAACACUUGAGCUUUUCAUGAUUUUUCUAGGUCCUAAACACAUUAAGGUACUAGCCAAAAAUGAAGACUAAGCCUUAGGAAGAGUUUGAAGUGGUUUUGGCACUUAAUCUUGGAGUUUACGGCCUAAGGAGCAUCUUGGCCGUAAACUCCCUUCCAAUGUUGGUUUCUAAUUGUUUUGUGGGUCUAAAUCAUGAGUUUAAGGCUUCUAGGUUCUUGUUCUAAGGCUAAAGGAACACUAGGCACUCAUUUGUGCCCUUUACUUGGAGUUUACGGCCCAAGAGGUUGUUCCUUGGCCGUAAACUCCUCAAACUACUUGCUUUUGAUUUGUUUCUAGCCUCUAAUGAUCAUACACUAAGUCCUUAGUUAGAUGCCUAACACGGAAAUGUGACUAGGUGGCCUUUAGGCUUGAUUUUGGAGUUUACUCCCCAAGAACGUUCUUGGGCAGUAAACUCCCGGAUCUUGUGUUUUGGACAUAUAAACAAUGUUAUAAAGCAUAUAACAAGUAUUAAAACACAUUUAGGGAAGUAGACUCACAAUCUGGGAUGAAAACCCGAAGAUCCGUGAGAGAGUAUUUGGCUUUUCUCUAAAUGGAAAUCAAAUAAUGAACCAAUUUGGUUCAGAAUUCUAUUUAUAGUCCUUAUAUUUUUGGCAGAAAAUAUUUCUAUUCUCGGAAUGGAUUCUAAUGACCUAGAGUAAUGGAUUUACAAUGUUGCACAAAAUCCUAGUGCAACCACUCUCCUAAUAACUCCUUAGGUGUAAAACCCUAAAACUGCCAAACUUAUUCCCAAAGUUUGAAUUUUCACUGAAACUGCUCUACUUCUAUUGGAUUGAUGUGGUUUGAUUUGAAUGGAAAAUUUCGGGUUGUCACAUCAUCCCCCUGUUAAAGGGAAUUUCGUCCCGAAAUUAGAAUUUAGGCAAGGAAGUAUGCACGAAUGAUCGAGACGUGAGGAGGAAACUUCCUAAUCGAUUGGUUCUAGCGCACUUAAGUGAAAUCGGGCUCUCGGUGGGUAUCCCAACGAACCUUCACUAAUUGGCGACGGCGUUGCUUCGUCCACUUGAUCUCUCGGUCGAGGGUCACUACGUUUCUGAUUCGGAGGCAAGGAUCUCGACGAAUGGACUUGUAAGAGUCCUAACGGGAAGGUAUGCUUUCGCGAUCGAGAUGCGAAGAGUAGAAAGUACGAUACUGAGUUCGCGGAGUAGGUCUAGUUUGUGCGAGGCACAGGACAGAUUCUGAUAANAUCUCGGAGGUCCUGUCUAACUUGGAUUUAGCUUUUCACGCUUUACGAAGCGUAUAAAGCCAUUCCCCAAGUGAGUUAUCCUAAAGAACUUGGUCACUCACUUGGAAUUCUCAAAGGUUCCUUUUCUUGCGUAGCUUCCCAGUCCAAGGCCACCCCUUGCUGGGUCGAAGUCGUAUGAGUUUCUGUAGCUUGCGAGGAGUUCUGAAUGAACUAAGGCGGUAGGUCGGUAAGACCUAGAAUUUGGCGAAAAACUGUCGGCUUCUCUGGUGUUGAUAAAUGCUCAAUGGUUUUUGACAAAUUGAAAGAGUACUCAAAUUUCUCACAUNAACAGUGUGUCCUAGAAAUUUGACUCUUCAAUUUCCAAAUCUCGUGCCUAGAGAACUUUGCUAAAAGUUCCUCUGUAGGAAAUGUUUUCAUGGGUUUUCUUCUUACUACGAGGGUAGAUAAGUAAGUCAUUUCAUGGAGAAAUGACGAAUCGAUCCAAGUAAGAAAGACGUAACCCUAUUCAUUUAUCCCAUGAAGACCAUGGGCGUAUUGGUCCUAUCCGAAAGGUAUCACUGCGAAAUCGAAGUGUCCGUAUCGAGUUCCGGAGAUAGUGUUUCGGACAUCCUUCCCUAACACUCGAAUUGGUGAUAUUCGAAUAUCAGUUCCAUUCCUGGAAGUAGUUUCUUUCCUUACGUUUGCUCAACCAUUUUGUCUAUGCGAGGCAGAGAUAACGAUUUCUAUGAAAAUCUUGACGGAAUCCUCGAUAUCCGAGGCACAUACGAUGCGAUCCAUCGAUCUCUGGAAGAAUCUGACCGGGGUUCUCGAAGGUGAGAAGCCUAGUCUGCUAAUUCUAUUUCUGUGUAGAUCGUUAAGUUGUUCGUACUGUUCUUGCAUCUCCGUGGGGUUUAAACUANNNNNNNNNNNNNNNNNNNNNNNNNNNNNNNNNNNNNNNNNNNNNNNNNNNNNNNNNNNNNNNNNNNNNNNNNNNNNNNNNNNNNNNNNNNNNNNNNNNNNNNNNNNNNNNNNNNNNNNNNNNNNNNNNNNNNNNNNNNNNNNNNNNNNNNNNNNNNNNNNNNNNNNNNNNNNNNNNNNNNNNNNNNNNNNNNNNNNNNNNNNNNNNNNNNNNNNNNNNNNNNNNNNNNNNNNNNNNNNNNNNNNNNNNNNNNNNNNNNNNNNNNNNNNNNNNNNNNNNNNNNNNNNNNNNNNNNNNNNNNNNNNNNNNNNNNNNNNNNNNNNNNNNNNNNNNNNNNNNNNNNNNNNNNNNNNNNNNNNNNNNNNNNNNNNNNNNNNNNNNNNNNAAUGAGUACUUCGGCGUUCUGAUAUGACGGCUUCUCUGGAAAAGUGAUCUAGAAGAUAGGGACGUACGUAUGAAGUUGUUUUCGCGUUGAUGAAAUGGAAUCUGAUUGUAUGAUAAUGUCGGGAUCAUACAGAAACUUUAAAGACAUUAGAAUUAAACAUAAGACGUUUACAGACAAACACAACCGCGCAACCAUGAACAAGAGUUACAGUACUUUAGAUUUACUACUAGACUAUUGUUGCGAAUAAGAUAUACUACAAAAGACAAGUAUACGCAGCACGAGAAUUCCUAUACAGACAGGAUCUCGCAAAAGGUAAGACUCUAGUUGCACUAGUUCUAAAUAGUUUAUAAGUCUGUUACAACGAAACGCCUUAAAUACAUUAACGUGGUUCCUGAGCAGGCUCUCAUGCAGCUGUGAUCCUGAGAAUCUUCCCAUCAGCGCCAGAAUUUUGCGUUAUCGGGCAAUUCCUCUGGAGGUGUCCAAUUUCACCGCAUUGGUGACAUAUAUGGACAGUACCCACGUUGGUGGUGGAAGUGAAACGUCGAGUAGGAGUUAUGGGAACGCGGCUGUUUUCAUCGAUCUCCCCUUUUGGGCAAUUUCUGUAAUAGUGCCCUGCUCACCACAGUUAUAGCAAUUUAGGUUGGCCCUAGUUGUGGAGGUAGCUCUACAAAAACGGGUGAUGUGCCCUUUCUUGUUGCAGUUCACGCACUGCAAGACUCGGCACAUUCCCUCGUGGUGGUAAUUCCACCGGUCGCACUUCGGGAGUGUUCCCUUAUAUGGUCUGCGUGGUACUGGGAUGACAGAGGUUUGUGACUGUUGCAUGGCAAUUCUCUGGAACCGUUUGCGUUCCACUUUGGCUUGACGUUUUCUUUUCUUGAACUCUGAGUUGUUGUUUUGGGUGGUGGCGACUGUUUCUAUUUGUUGGUUCCCCGGAUCAUUAACAUGAUCGGGAUUUUCAAUCCCUUUUGCAGCCUUGUCUGCAUUGGCAGUGCUGCGGUUUGCCAGGACUGCGGUCNGGUUUCCCGGUUUUGUACUAUCAUCGGAACUCUCGACUCCUUUUUCAGUCUUGUUUGUGUUGCCUGUGUUGAUGUGUGUAAGGAAAGUUGUCACCGCAGCUGCUACUGCAGCUUGUAAUGUAGUGGCGUCGAUAGUAAAAGUAGAGGUCUCGUUGCUUGGCUGGUUGUUUUCGGAUGACGACAUGAUUAUCUCUAUGAUGCAGCCCUAGUUAAAGAACGAAUGUAUGUUCGCGAAGGUUUGACCUACAUCUCCAUGAUGUAGUCCUAGUACGGACUGGAAGUAUGUUCGUAGAAUGGUCUCAAGACGUUUGUCGUUCGAGCUGAGGUAUCGUGGGUUGGUGAAUAACAAGAUCCAACCACUGAAGGAGACUUGGAAGUGUCUCCUGAAUAAAUCACCAUAGUCCAAUGACUUGACUAAAGUAUGAUUCAGAUAGACUCCAAUGAAAGUAAGAUAAAAGUACUUGAAAUGAAGAAUGACGCAACAGUUAGCCGACUAUCAAUAUCUUUGAUAUUCACGACGUAAAGAUUCAGGAAAAUGACCUUGUAAAGGUCUUACAUCAUAUCCACAGAGGAUAGUUCCAGACAGCAUAAAGACCUAACUAAAGUACUUACAGAACAAGAUAAUUUCAUAGAAAAUGCCACAUCGGGCAUAGACAGAAAAACACGAUUCCUUUUUAUAAGGGAAAUAAAGUAAAGCGUCUACUACUGGCGACGGUCAUUCCUCUGGUGAACUAUUAGUUCAGCCAAUUGACGUUCCACGUCAAGUAGGUGUCUUUCGCACACUAUCUGGCGUACUUGGAGCUCUUAGACUUCGGCUCGUGAUUCAGCCAGUGCUUGCAACAGGNUACUUAGAUUGUUCAUGCUAAAAGUAAGAGUAUGUUCUCGAAAGUUUGACCUACAUCUCUAUGAUGCAGCCCUAGUUAAAGAACGAAAGUAUGUUCGCGAAGGUUUUGACCUACAUCUCCAUGAUAUAGUCCUAGUACGGAAUGGAAGUAUGUUCGUAGAAUGGUCUCAAGACGUUUGUCGUUCGAGUUGAGGUAUCGUGGGUUGGUGAAUAACAAGAUCCAACCACUGAAGGAGACUUGGAAGUGUCUCCUGAAUAAAUCACCAUAGUCCAAUGACUUGACUAAAGUAUGAUUCAGAUAGACUCCAAUGAAAGUAAGAUAAAAGUACUUGAAAUGAAGAAUGACGCAACAGUUAGCCGACUAUCAAUAUCUUUGAUAUUCACGACGUAAAGAUUCAGGAAAAUGACCUUGUAAAGGUCUUACAUCAUAUCCACAGAGGAUAGUUCCAGACAGCAUAAAGACCUAACUAAAGUACUUACAGAACAAGAUAAUUUCAUAGAAAAUGCCACAUCGGGCAUAGACAGAAAAACACGAUUCCUUUUUAUAAGGGAAAUAAAGUAAAGCGUCUACUACUGGCGACGGUCAUUCCUCUGGUGAACUAUUAGUUCAGCCAAUUGACGUUCCACGUCAAGUAGGUGUCUUUCGCACACUAUCUGGCGUACUUGGAGCUCUUAGACUUCGGCUCGUGAUUCAGCCAGUGCUUGCAACAGGGCUUCAUGGUUUCUCUCUGUUUUCUCGUGAACAUCCUCUAGAUGAAUGGUGUGGAGGGUAUGCAUUCUAGCAUAGGCGACUACUUCUGUAAUCUGAUGUAGGGUUGUCCUGCCUUGAAUCUCAUUUCUGGCCUCUCUGCGGACCAAGAUUGGCAAGACUAUAUCCGCUAAGCGCUUAUUGCUCCAGUCGUAAAAGCUUCGGUAGCCAUUAAAUAGCAAAACUGAUCUUGUCCUUGGCUCCAUGUUUCCAAGCAUUCCACUCACUCAGGGUCGGGCCAUGAAAAGCCAGAAGUGGGUUAGGAAUUGAAACGGGAGCUGCUCGAGGUAGGUUCUCAACCUCUGGUUCGGGGUUAGCAUCAUACGAAAAGUCUUCAUCACGGUGAUCAUCCAGGGAAUAGGAUGAUCAUUCUCUGGUUCUUCUCCAAACCAGCCAGCUAUGACUUCAUUCGAAAGAUACUAGUUGUCAAGGGGAUGGAGUCUAGUUAUGAUUUCUAUGCGAGAAUUUAGGGUAAGAAGAUAAUUAUUAGACGAACUAUCUGGAUAAUUAUUUAGAAAACCUUCACUAGUUACAUCGCUAUUUGUGAAGUGUAUACCAGCUAUGUGUAAUCUAAACAGGAUAGACCUUCGAAUAAGUGACCUUAACUCCUUAUUCACACAGAAUAGGGGUAAGGCAAAAUUAUCACAGAUUCUGAGUCUAUAACGUCCUAAUUACAUGUAGCCUCAGUGUAUCCACUUAGCAACUAUUAACUUAGUAAUGAAGAUCCCAUUUUAAUUCUCAAGUAUAAAGUACUUAUAGUAACACCAAAUACUCCUAUAGUAUUUUAAAUUUUUAAUGUUAUGUUCUAUUGUUCUCAUUGUGGUAGGGUUGGUAAGAUUUUAGCAUUGUUGCAACCACACACUUAAACUUAGGCACAUGCUAGUCAACCCUCGGAUAAUAUAGGUGAUCAGGCUAUAUCUUCCCAGUUUUGACCAUAUGUCUCUAAGCCCACUUGUGUUGCCCAACAAUCGUAAUUCUUUUGUACUGUCCUAAUGACAUUGAUUUUAGUAUGAAUGCAGCACGUAUACUUACUUAAAUAUUUUACUAUUUAAAGUAUAAACUCUUGGUCAGAGUAUUUUUAAUCCCUUAUGUAUUUAUAGUUAGUAUAUCUUUUAUGGGUUGAUAUACUUAAUUCACUAUAAACAAUGCUCUGAUACCAAUCUGUCACACCCCAAAACCAAGAACGGCGGAAACGUUCUGGGGCGGAGGACGUCAUGUAUAAUAUCAACAACAAUGUAAAGUAGUAAACAAGCAACAACAUCAUCCAUUGCAUUAAUAAAAUAAUUAUUAUACAAUUGUAUUCUGUCAAAUUUUGAUAAACACUAAAGCAUAAAUCAAAAUGAAAGAUAAGUCUUGAAUAAGCUUCAUCUUCCUUUCUCCUUGCAUCGGUACCUGUCUAUGAUGACCUGAGGAUACAAGUAAUUUUGAAAGCGAGUAUCAGCUNNNNNNNNNNNNNNNNNNNNNNNNNNNNNNNNNNNNNNNNNNNNNNNNNNNNNNNNNNNNNNNNNNNNNNNNNNNNNNNNNNNNNNNNNNNNNNNNNNNNNNNNNNNNNNNNNNNNNNNNNNNNNNNNNNNNNNNNNNNNNNNNNNNNNNNNNNNNNNNNNNNNNNNNNNNNNNNNNNNNNNNNNUGGAUGUAUACCCUUGCUACCCAAGGGCAUAGGAUGAAUUGGAAGGACCUUUUAUGACUUUAUAUGUACACAUGAUAUAUAACUAAUAUUUAAACGACCUUCGGACGAGUAUCCGAUAUCCCACCAGACCACAUCUCAAGCGCGAAAAGGAAAUAGGGUGGAUAGCCUUCCUAAGUCUUUUAAACAUUUCUUAUAUAACUAUACAUAUAGAGGCAUGCAAUUUAUAAUAUCAAAGCAUAAAUAAGUUUAUUAACAUUUGAAAUAUAAAUAUUAUUCAACGGAAAGAUCGACUUGAUGUCAAUCUAUAAAACAAUUUGAAGGCAUAAGUCUGAUAAAACGAUAUAAGUACAAGGAACAUUUGUUUGAAAACACAGUUGUAAAUAAGUUUGAAAUAUGAUGACAGUGUAAGAAGUACAGUGUAAUAAGUAGUUUAAAUCAUCUAAAAUGUUUAUAAAAACCAUUUGAAGGAAAACUAUUUGAUAAAACGGCUAAUUAGUAGCCAAAUCUUUUGAAUGUUGUAUAUUAAUCACAUGUGAUUGAUGUAAUAAGUAAUAUAAUCCUACUUACUAANCCAAAAGUUUGAAUUUUCACUGAAACUGCUCUACUUCCAUUGGAUUGAUGUGGUUUGAUUUGAAUGGAAAAUUUCGGGUUGUCACAGUUAAGGGGUAUGAACUCACCUGCAGUAUGUGACUGGAAUUGAACGGGCUGUUAUCGUACGGAAGGAUCAGACAAGUGCUUGGUGUCAAGUGAAGACUUAGACACACACAAUGAUCCUAAUUACAUAUGAAACAUAUGUAUAUAAAUAAUUAGUGAUUAUAACACUAAUUAUACAAGUAAUAACAUUUAAGCGCGAGGACAACACUUUUGGUCAAGUGCUAGGAGGCUAAUGGGUUGCAACAAAGAAGUGCAAUGCCCCUAAUGAAAGUUUAAGGUCAAAAGACCAUAUUCAUUAGAGUUUACGGCCCAGGGGAGUAAGCUCCUGGCCGUAAACUCUCAAACAAGUCAUGAAAUGGAGUUUAAAAGUACUACAACCUUAGAGGGGAAUUGUUUCAAGGCUAUACAAGUGUUUGGGCACCACAUUGACUCCUUUGGGGAGUUUACGGCCCAAAGACCCUUCUCCCUUGGAGUUUACGGCCGUAAACUCCCUUGGGAGGGUUCUUAUUGUCCUUUCAAGUCUCUAACAUUUCUAGGAACAAGUCUAGGCUUCAAUACUUGGAUCAAGGGAGGUUUAUGGCAUUAAAUGGAACCAUUUGAUGGAGUUUACGGCCAUAGAACUCUUUGGGCCGUAAACUCCCUCACACAUGAGGUUCUAAGAAUUUUAACUAGCCCAAAACUCAUCUAGGUACUUGCCCUAAAAGUCUCUUGGCCUAAGGAAGUGUCUAGGGUGUCCUUUGACCCCUUUAAAGGAGUUUACGGCCCAAGAAAUACUCUUGGCCGUAAACUCUUCAACACUUGAGCUUUUCAUGAUUUUUCUAGGUCCUAAACACAUUAAGGUACUAGCCAAAAAUGAAGACUAAGCCUUAGGAAGAGUUUGAAGUGGUUUUGGCACUUAAUCUUGGAGUUUACGGCCUAAGGAGCAUCUUGGCCGUAAACUCCCUUCCAAAGUUGGUUUCUAAUUGUUUUGUGGGUCUAAAUCAUGAGUUUAAGGCUUCUAGGUUCUUGUUCUAAGGCUAAAGGAACACUAGGCACUCAUUUGUGCCCUUUACUUGGAGUUUACGGCCCAAGAGGUUGUUCCUUGGCCGUAAACUCCUCAAACUACUUGCUUUUGAUUUGUUUCUAGCCUCUAAUGAUCAUACACUAAGUCCUUAGUUAGAUGCCUAACACGGAAAUGGGACUAGGUGGCCUUUAGGCUUGAUUUUGGAGUUUACUCCCCAAGAACGUUCUUGGGCGGUAAACUCCCGGAUCUUGUGUUUUGGACAUGUAAACAAUGUUAUAAAGCAUAUAACAAGUAUUAAAACACAUUUAGGGAAGUAGACUCACAAUCUGGGAUGAAAACCCGAAGAUCCGUGAGAGAGUAUUUGGCUUUUCUCUAAAUGGAAAUCAAAUAAUGAACCAAUUUGGUUCAGAAUUCUAUUUAUAGUCCAGAGAUUUUUGGCAGAAAAUAUUUCUAUUCUCGGAAUGGAUUCUAAUGACCUAGAGUAAUGGAAUUACAGUGUUGCACAAAAUCCUAGUGCACCCACUCUCCUAAUAACUCCUUAGGUGUAAAACCCUAAAACUGCCAAACUUAUUCCAAAAGUUUGAAUUUUCACUGAAACUGCUCUACUUCUAUUGGAUUGAUGUGGUUUGAUUUGAAUGGAAAAUUUCGGGUUGUCACACCGUCAACUAGUCAGGCUUCCGGAGUAGGUAUCGGUCAAACCUGCUACAAUUAUGGAGAGGUCGAACACUAUAAGCGAAACUGUCCGAAGACAGUAACAUCUGGCAACACCGGGAGAGUCCUAACCAUGGGACAAGAAAGGACAGCCGCCGAUCCCACCGUUGCUACAUGUAUACUUCUCUUUGAUAAAUCUUGUGCCCGUGAUCCUUCUCGAUUCUAAUGUUGUAAGAAUUUGCUAAUCAUUCAUUCAAAUAUUCUUCUAAACUAAAUCCUUCAUUUAUAAUCGAAAUGUGUGCCGUCGAAAUGACCAACUAGUGAGAGAGAGAGAACGUUAACGCCAUACCCCUAGAUCGUAUCCUUAAUGCGGAUGAAUAUUCCUUUCCAUUCUAUCAAAUGGUAAAUCUUUCAUUGAAAGCUUGAUGCAAUCUUGGCAUGGAAUGACUGAGUCUCAUUCAUGUUGUUGUUCUUGUCUUUGAAAGAGUCGUCCAUCCGAAUCUAUCCCUGACCCAACUCUCCUGAUUCGACAUCAANACCUGAAUCCAACCUUCACAUCUUCGUGCAUUAAGCUUAGAAAGUUUUCCAUGCAUUUCUCGACUAUGUGACAUUCGGAAAGCGAAAAUUCUGCAGCUCCUUCCCCGAUGCCUUUCCUGAAAACUUUCGAAAUUUCCUUCCGAGCGUCUAGCCAAGUCUAGUAUCGACCUAAUGCUUGGGAAAGCGAAAUACUUUCCUAGUGAUUCAGUAGACUCUUCGCAACCCUUGUGGAAUCAAUUCCGUAACCUUCAAACUUCGAUUACUCUCGGAACCUAGUAGCAUCCAUCUGAUACUUAAUGCAUCGGUCUUUGAGAAGUAUCUACCCAACGAAAUCAAGACGCGUCCCGAUAGUGAGGGUUCACUAAAACGUCAAGCGAAGACCCGAAGCAGUAGAUUCAUCCUCGUAUCUCUUUUCACUUUGUGAUCUGUGUUCGAAUCUUUGAAUUUCGGGACGAAAUUCCCUCUAACGGGGGGAUAAUGUAACAACCCAAAAUUCAUAUCCCUAAAUGUAACCCUUCUUGCGACUCGUUCCGAUUAUCCAAUCGCCGUUUCCGGUUUCAUUUUCGAUUUCAGCAUUUUAUUAAGUCAUUAUUGUAUAUUUUAUGUUAUGACCUAAUGAGUGUCCAUAUGCCCUUAGAACUCAUUCUAACGCCUAAUAUUAAUGAUCGGAACAUUUCUAGAAUCAACCAUGUCGGGUUACUGCAAAUUAGCCGGGUGCGAUCAAAAGCCCCGUCUAAAGCCGGUAUCGGGUAGAAUUUCAUCGUGUCCAAAUCCCGAACACUAUUUAAAGUGUUCUAAGACUUCAUUUUGAAGCUUUUUCCUCAUUCUACAACUAUCACCCAAACCUGUCUCCUUAAACUAGAAUUAAAGGUCCAAAUCUCAAGUUUAAGGUUUCAAAUCUUUGAGGUAACUUCCCUAGCAUGUUAUACAACCUCUUUAGCCUUCAAAUUCGAGUAUAAUCUAUGGAUUAGGACCAUUAUCAUGUGUUUACGGCCCUAGAACUAUACUAGGCCGUAAACUCCUUUUUAAGGGGUUUUUGAGCAACAAAACGCUUCCAAACCUCAACUAGAUGUUAGAUAUGGCUAAAUGACUUUAUGGAAUGAGUUUAGAAUGACUUGAAGCACGAUUUAGAGCCUUGUUUAAGAGUUUACGGCCCUGGAAAGUUUCUAGGCCGUAAACACUAAUUUAGAGGGUUUUUAAGCCCUUAAACCCUUCCAUGGCUCAAACAAGACUUAGAUACGACUUUUAGAAUAUUGGUUAUGGACCUAGAACACUUCAAACAUAAAAUUUUAAGAUGUUUGUAUGAGUUUACGGCCAAGGCAUGUGCUUGGGCCGUAAACUCCUCUAUUAUGGGAAUAAACUCACUUCUAAGGUGUUAGAAAGCCAUCCAACACCACCAAAAGCCUUGGAAUAAAUCAUAGAACCAACCAAAAAUAGUUUAAGGACCUUAAGCACAUCAAAACCUCACAUAUGAGAGUUUACGGCCAUUGAACAUGCCCCAUGGCCGUAAACUCCUAAAAGUGUGUCAAAUGGUGCCACAUAUUCAUUUCUAGGCUUGUAGGAAUUUUUAGAAUCACAUGUGAUUAAUUUUGAGACCCUAAAAACACUUAUUCAAGGGGUUAUGAGAGUUUACGGCCAUAGGCCCCAUGCCAAGGCCGUAAACUCCCUUAAGUGUUGUAUUUGGUGAUUUUAAUUCAUUCCAAGCCUUAGGUAAAAUUAUUCCAAACAUUUCCAAGUGUCAAUAGCCAUUUGUGACCCCUUUAAGCACCAUAAACCACCCCACCGUGAGUUUACGGCCGUAAACUCAUGUGGAAUGGGUGUUUAGGCCGUAAACUUCAUUAGGGAGUUUGCUCUUGGGGAGUAAACUCAAAUCCCAAGUCCCUCGCUUCAAUUCCCGUCCGUAGAUGUCACCCGGGUCACUCCAAACACCCGUUUUGGGGCGUUUUUGUUCGUUGGAGUGUGACUUCAUAUCUAAUUAGAGUUUAUGAAUCUAACUAGAUAUAUUUGUAUGCCAUUUCAUAUUACAUAGGAACCUCACGUAUUAUCAGGCCUCGAUUUGACGUUUAGCACCCGAAAUCGACACAUUUCCGCGUCCGGUUAGUUCAUACCCCUACCCUUUUCCGUGUUUUUCAUUGUUUUCACUGUUUUUCAGGGGGGGAAUACAAGCAAAAUUACAAAUAUAUUUUGUACUUAAACUGAUUUUCAAUAUAAUGGUUUAUUUACUAAAUUUCUUGAUUGUGAUAACUGAUGUUUUGAACUGCAGGUUAAAUACAGAUUUCUUUUAAAUAUUGUAAUUAUAUUGUCUUUUGUAAAAGAAAUCAUACUAAUUAUAACUAAGUACGAAUACAAAUAAUGAAUAUAACUAAUAGGAUAGAACGAAUGCGAAUAACGAAUAUAACUAAGUACGAAUACGAAUAACGGAUAUAACUAAUAGGAUAGAACGAAUGCAAAUAACGAAUAUAACUAAGUACGAAUACGAAUAACGAAUAUAACUAACAGGACAGAACGAAUGCGAAUACGAAUAUAACUAAGUACGAAUACGAAUAACGAAUAUAACUAUGAUGAUAAAACGAAUACGAAUAACGAAUAUAAUUAACAGGAUAGAACGAAUAUGAAUAGGCUUAGGACUACGAAUACGAAAUAACGCCUUUGGAUGACAGCAAGACUUCGAAUAUACAACUAGUGUACGCCUUGAAUGUCACCAGAGUUCCAAAUACGAAAGUAUGCCUCUGGACCUCUACUUACUUUUGAUUACAUCCGCCUCAGAAUGUCGACAGAGAUACGAAAAUACAACUAAUGUACUCUUUUGGAAUCCACCAGAAUAAUCGAAAAUACUGUAAUGUACGUUUCUGGUGAAUCCAAAUAUACGAAAAUACAACUAAGUUUGUAGGUUAUAGUCAUACGAAUGUAGUAUAUCUAGGAGUUUAGAAUACUUAACUAAUUCUACACAUAUGGUAAGUACUAAUACUAUGAAAUCAAACCUAAGAACCAAACAACUCAACACAUAGGAAAAUAUGGGAUUUUCCUAGGAUAACAUAACAACUAGUAUCGAACUUAGAAUCAAAUAGCCAAUUCAACACAUAGGAAACUAUGGGAUUUUCCUGGAUAGCAUAACAAAACAUAAGCGAAUAAAGUAACAAACGAAUAACUAAAACUAUAAGGAAAAUAUGGGAUUUUCCUGGAAUAACACAACAAACCGUAUUUGAAAUUGUAAUAAAAGAUAACUAAACCAUUUUAUAAGAAAAUAUGGGAUUUUCUUGAACAAUAACCAUUUCAGAAAGUAAAGGGAACUCGUUCUUUUCAAAACUAAACCGCUUAUGAACUCACCAGCUUUAUGCUGAUUUUCAAACUGCUUGUAUUCUCAGGUUAGAGUUAGUCAGGUACACCGCAACCUUUUGGAGAAGACGGAGCGUCCCGAAGACUCGUCUUUACUUUUGUUCAUAUUACAUAUGUAAAACACUUGUACAACUUUUACUUUUAAACAGAUGUAAACAAUAUUAUGUAAUGUAAUGUUUUAUGAUUACUGCUUUACUAUGUGCAUUGGAUUUGAUACUCAACGUGGAGUCAACCCCGGAAAUGUUUCCGCCUUUGGUUUUCGGGGUGUGACACUAGCAAGGCCCAACAAGCAUGAUUUGAAACUUCCAAGCCCAAAUUUUGUAAAUUGGCUCAUCGUAGUUAUCGUGUAUUUAUUUAGGUGGUUUGGUUUAGCGCCUGUUGUUUUGUAUUGAUUCGAGACCGAAUCACUACGUUUGUAACGAUAUUUGUUGUUGAAAGUGUAUUUGUUUUCCGUUUCCUUGGUAGUCGUGGAUCUUGUAUUUUGUAUUAAUGAAUUAAUUUGUUUAAAGGUGGAAUUUGAUCUUUUCACUACCCUUCUUUUAUAAAAAUAACACUUUUGGUCCUUUUAUAUAAAAGAAUUUUAGUUUUAGUUCCUUAAAACAUUUUCUUGACACUUUUGUAUCAUAAACUUGUUGAAUAUACAGUUCUAAUCCAAAAUUGAUUUUGUUGGCAGCUUCAGCCCUUCCAGAAUGGUAUUUCUCGGUUAGAACCCCAUUUUUCUUAACUUUUACAAUUUUUGCCCAAAAUCUAAAAACUUUGCAUUUUCGGUCCUUUUUUUACAGUAAAAGGCAUUUUUGACCCUAAAAAUAUUUUGUUAUGCUCAUUACCCCUGUUUUACAGAAAGUUUCAUUUCAGCCCCUUAAAUUUAUCAUUUUUCGCAUUUUGAGGCUUAUUGGGCCGAAAAGCCCAAAAUUAUCCCAUUAAGCUAAAAAUUUACAUUUUAAGUCCCUUGAAAAUUCUAUUAUUCAGAAAAAUGAUUAUAGAAACUGUUUUGACCCUCAAGAAACCAUGACUUGUCGAUUUGUAACCCAAGUUUUUUCUUUUUAUUUUUGACAAUUUAAGCCCUAAAAUGGGUUUUAUGUUAGAAUAUGUUCAUCAUAACCUUAUAAGCUAUCAUUAUUGACUUGUUAGCUGUAAAAUAGCUUAGAUUAUGUUUUUUUCCUUUCCCUUGUCAUAAAUCUUGGGUUUACACCCCUUUUGUUAACAUAUUCAUCACAAAAACACAUGAAAUCACACACAUACAUGCAUAAAAUCACACAUAGCAUACACAUACACAUAGAUCUCCACAUUUUCUUGUAUUCUCCCCCAUAAAACUCAUGAAAACCGAAAAGAAAGGGUUAUGAAGCUAACCUUGAGUUGUGGUCUCGGUUUUGAAGAAGAUUGGUAGAAGUUUGGUGCUAUUUUCGGCCCUCACAAGUUUCUUGGAUGGAUCUCAAACUUAGUGGGUUCUAAGAUGAAAGAUCAUGAAUUUGAAUGGGUUAAGAGAUGAUUUUUGAUGAAAAGAAGUGAGUUAAAGCAUGGAUCAAAUAUCAACGUACCUUAGAUUUGUGAUAUUAAGAAGAGAUUUCCUUGUAGCCCUUGUGAGUCUUGAAAUUUUUGAGGGAGAGUGUAUGGAUGUUCUAAUGAGAGUUUGAGAGAAUGAAGAUAAAUUUUGUGAGUGUGUGUGUGUGUUUGGCCGAGAGAAGAAGGGAGGGGAAGAGCGAGACCUUGAUGAGAUGUUUGCUUGGAAGUAUGAAUUGCAUGCAUGGAGACCCAACAAAUAAAAAUGAGGUGGCACAAAAGUCAACUCUCCUUUCUUCAUGCUUUGAGGUUGGGCCAAGAAUUAGAGAAAUAAAAGGAAAAUUUUGGGCCUUUGGUGUUUAAUCCAUAUUAUGGCUUAAUUAGAUGAUUAUUGGCCCAAAAAAAUCAAGAAAUGACUUUUAUGGCUCAUUAGGGAUAAUUAGGUUAGUAGUGGCCCAAUGAGGUCCAUUAAAGUUUUUUAUUUCAUUCUAGGCCCAAUAUGGCCCAAAAUAUUAAAACAAGUAGAAGUGGGUCCAAUUUAAGCCCAUUUAAGAGUUCUAAGCUCAAGAUAGUCAAAUUGGAAGCUUAUUGGCCCAUUGGGUCCAAUAAGGAAAUCCUAGUCCAUAAUAGACUUAAACCGGGAUUUCUAGGGUUUCCAAUUCUUUGUUGACUAUUUGCAGUGCUUGUAUGAAGUUUUUGAUUGAAGUUUGUUGUUAUUGAAUAAGCAUCUUACAUGCUGUCACGUUGUUGGUUCACAUUCGUUAUCAUUGUUCCAUGUUUACAAGGCAUCGAAUUUCCUAGUUGUGACAUCAUCCCCCCGUUAGAGGGAAUUUCGUACUGAAAUUCUUUUGAAAGCUAGAUUUGAGAAUGCGAGAAUAGGUGAGGGUACUUCUGCUUCAUCUGGUCUUCGCGUUCCCAUGUGAACUCUGGCCUACGCUUCGCGUUCCACUGUACCUUCACAAUAAGAAUGCGACUAUGCUUGGUACGCUUCACCUCCCUGUCCAUUAUUUCGACUGGUUCCUCCAUGAACAAGAGAUUCUCAUUGAUUUCAAUUUCAUCAAGGGGAAUGACGAGAGUUUCAUCAGAUAAGCACUUCUUUAGGUUGGAAAAAUGGAACACGGGAUGUAUGCUGCUGAGCUCAGCGGUAGCUGUUGUCUGUACGCUACUAGACCAAUUCGGGCAAGAAUCUCGAAAGGUCCAAUGUAUCGUGGAUUCAAUUUUCCAUGCUUUCCAAAACAAAUAGCUCCUUUCCAGGGAGAAACUUUUAACAACACCCGAUCCCCGACCUGAAACUCUAAGGCCUUUCGUCGUUUAUCAGCGUAGCUCUUCUGUUGGUCGCGUGAUGCUUGUAGUCGAGCUCUGAUUUGAACUAUCUUUUCCAUGGUUUCACGUAUGAUCUCCGGUCACGUUAACGUCUUGUCUGAUGUCAGUUCUCUCGCUAGCUGGGUGUCGCCUACCUCAGCCCAACACAAUGGUGAUCUACACUUACGUCCAUACAGUGCCUCGAAAGGAGCAACUUUGAUGCUCGAAUGGUAAUUGUUGUUGUAUGAGAAUUCAACUAAGGAUAAGUGGGUAUCCCAGGACUUCCCAAAGUCUAUCACACAUGCGCGAAGCAUGUCUUCAAGCGCCUGAAUGGUUCGUUCGCUUUGACCAUCCGUUUGUGGGUGAUAAGCAGUGUUCAUGUUGAGAUGGGUUCCCAGUGCUUUUUGAAGUGAUUGCCAAAAACGUGAAGUGAAUCUACUAUCUCUAUCUGAGAUGAUAGACACCAGCACUCCGUGAAUUCUCACGAUUUCUCGAAUGUAUAUUCUUGUCAAUCUCUCCAUCUUGUAGGAUUCUUUUAUUGGCGGGAAAUGAGCGGAUUUCGUCAGUCUGUCGACUAUUACCCAUAUAGUGUCCAAUCCAUCUGACGACUUCGGUAACUUGGUCACAAAAUCCAUGGUAAUCCUUUCCCAUUUCCACUCGAGAAUUACUGGUUGCUGUAAUAACCCUGAGGGCUUCUAGUAUUCUACCUUUACCUUGGCACAAGUAAGGCAUUUGCUAACAUAGGUGGCAAUCUCUGCCUUCAUGUUAGGCCACCAAUAAUGUUGUUUAAUAUCCAAGUACAUUUUGUCCGAACCCGGAUGGAUGGAGUAUCGCGUCUUGUGAGAUUCAUUCAUGACUACCUCCCUAAAUCCUCCAAGUUCAGGGACGCAAAUACGGUUCAUGAAAUAAUAUACUCCGCCCUCUUUCACCUCGAGCUUCUUCUCCAUUCCGCGUAACACUUCGCUUGUUUUUUUUUCCGCCUUCAUGGCAUCUGACUGUGCUUCCCUAAUCUAAGUGGCUAGGUGAGAUUGGAUGGUUAUUGUGAGAUUUUUCACACGACGAUUAGAGUACCCUUUCCGACUCAAGGCAACAGCUACUACGUUAGCCUUGCCUGGUUGGUACUUGAUUUCACACUCAUAAACGUUUAAUAGUUCAACCCAUCCUCGUUGCCUCAUAUUCAACUCUUUUUGAUUCAAGAUGUGCUGGAGACUCUUGUGGUCUGUGAAGAUGGUGCACUUCGUACCGUAUAGGUAGUGCCUCCAAAUUUUCAGGGCGAAGACCACUGCUCCCAAUUCCAGAUCAUGGGUUGUAUAGUUAACUUCGUGUGUCUUUAGUUGUCGGGACGCGUAAGCAAUCACCUUUCCAUACUGCAUGAGAACACAACCUAAACUCUGAUUUGACGCGUCACCGUAGAUUAUGAAAUCUUUUGUUCCCUCUCGUAGUGAUAGUACCGGGGCAUUGCAGAGUGCUUGCUUCAGAGUUCGGAAUGCAUCUUCUUGCUUGUCCGUCCAUUCGAAUGGUACACCAUUUUGUGUAAGCGAGGUAAGUGGCUUGGCGGUCUUAGAGAAGUUUUAAAUGAACCUCCUAUAGUAACCUGCUAGACCUAAGAAUUGGUGAAUUUCUGUGGGCGUUGUUGGGACUGCCCAUCCUUCGAUGGCUUUGACCUUAGAAGGAUCCACAUGUAUUCCUUCCUGACUAACAACAUGACCCAAAAAGUUAACGCUACGGAGCCAGAACUCACACUUGGAGAGUUUUGCGUAUAGCUUCUCAGUUUGUAGGAGUUCCAGGAUUUGUCGGAGAGGUUGGCCAUGCUCUUCUUUGCUUCGAGAAUAAACUAGAAUUUCGUCAAUGAAAACAAUAACAAAGUUUUCGAGGAAUGGUCGGCAGAUUCGAUUCAUUACGUCCAUGAAUGCGGCAGGGGCAUUCGUGAGACCGAAGGGCAUUACGACAAAUUCAUAAUGUCCGUAACAAGUUCGGAAAGCGGUUUUGGGAAUAUCCUCUUCCCGGACCUUGAGUUGAUGGUACCCAGACCGCAGAUCUAUCUUAGAGAAGUAACUAGCUCCUUGGAGUUGGUCAAAUAGAUCGUCGAUUCGUGGGAGUGGAUAGCGAUUUUUGACAGUGAGCUUAUUUAGUUCUCUGUAAUCGAUGCACAUCCUAAAAGACCCGUCUUUCUUUUUGACAAAGAGAACUAGAUCUCCCCAUGGCGAGAAGAUGGGUCGAAUGAAUCCCUUGUCCAGGAGUUCACUGAGUUGGCUAGACAAUUUCUACAUCUCAGCAAGAGCCAAUCAGUAAGGAGAUUUUGCGAUGAGAGUAGCUCCUGGCACAAGAUCAAUUCGAAAUUCAAUUUGUCUUUCUGGGGAUAUCCCAGGAAGAUCUUCAGGAAAGAUGUCUGGGAAUUCACAUGCUACAGGAAUGUCUUGAACAUUAACCUCUUCCUUGGAUUUAUCCACUAUGUGCGCCAGGAACGUCAAAUCUUUCUUUCGUAGAUACUUCUAUGCCUGGACGCACGAGAUGAGACGAAGAUCCGUGCUGGGUUUGUCUCUGUAAAUAAUUAGGGUUUCAUGAUUUGGAAGGUGAAGGCGAAGGGCCUUCUCAUGACACAUAAUUUCAGCAUGGUGGGGGCUUAACCAAUCCAUGCCAAUAAUCACAUCAAAACUCCUAAUGGAAACAUGCAUUAAGUUUAUUCGAAAGACGUGUUGAUUUAGGGCUAGGGUACAUCCGAUAUAGAUUUCCCCAGUGGAUUCUAUUUUCCAAUUAGCCAUUUCCACCGUAAAGGUUUCAUUGAGCUUCUGGGGUUGUUGUUUUAACAAAUGCUUAAACUUAUUGCUCACAAAACUUCGUUAUGCUCCGGUAUCAAAUAGGAUGCAUGCAUAAGUGUGGUUUAGGAGGAACGUAUCGGUGACAACAGCGGGAUCCUGAACCGCUUCUCCCUGACCCAUGGUCAACACCCUUCCUGCCCCUCCAUUCCCGAAAUUGUUGUUGUUGGGGAAGUUUCGACGGAAAUGCCCAGUCCUUCCAUAUCCAUAGCAGGUGUGGCUUGGUCUUAUAUUGUUGCCGCCAUUGUCGGUGUUGUUGUUGCGGUUAUUGUUGUUGUUGUCUCCCUGUUGUUGGUUCUGAGGAGGGUAGGUCCUGCAAUACUUGGUCGUGUGCCCCUUCCGAUUGCAACUGGUGCACUGCAUCUCUCUAGAUUCUCCAUUGUAAUGGAGACCUUACUUGUUGCACUUAGGAAGAUUACCGGAAUAAGGCCUAGGAGCACUUGGAGCAGUUGAGGCUGGAGCAUGUGGUAUGGUUGGAACUUGGGUGGUUGCAGCAUUAACUGCCAUUGUUUGCUGUUUCUUGGAUGAUUCGGAGCCUUGACGUCCCUUCCUCUUGUUGUUCUUUCCUUUUUUGUUGUCAUUUUCCUUCUUACCUUUAGCCUCCACUGGCUUCUCACCCUUCUUGUUGUCAUGGCCAUACAGCUUCUUGGCCAAUCUAUUGGCACUGUUGAAAGUUUCGAGAUUUGCAGCUAUCACGUUUCCUUGGAGCGGGGAGGUUAGUCCCCAAAUGAAUCGCUCGAUCUUCUUUCCUUCUGAGGUGAUCAUGCCAGGGCAUAGCAAAGACAGUUCGAUAAACCUUGAUAUGUAUGCAUCUAUAUCAGUGUUUUGGACGGUGAGAUUCCACAGCUCUUGUUCCAUUUUCUGAAUUUCGCCACGAGGGCAGUACUCGGCCAUCAGCAUUUGUUUCAUCACUGCCCAUGGCAUGGAAUUGGCUACGGGGAGUGUCAUGGCUUCCACGUGUCCGUUCCACCAUGUGAGUGCUUGGUUAACGAAAGUGCAUGCGGCAAACUUCACCUUCAUCUCCUCAAGGCAUUCACAUAUCUCGAACACCGAUUCCACCUUCUCGAUCCAUCGUUUCAAGGUAAUCAUUCGUCCAGUGCCGUUAAAGGUUCGUGGUUUGGCGUUGGUGAAGUCUUUGUAGGAGCAUGUUUUGGUAGGUCCUUGAUUUAUCCCGUUGAUGUGUGCAAACUCACUUAGUUUUAAACCUACUUUUAAUUAUCAAAUAACACACAAAAGGCAGUGAACCUAUCAAUUGUGGUAUAGCUAAAUAAGCAGGGUAUCGAACACAAGGAACGGCAAAUUAAACUAAAAACUAAUUUAAUCUAAGUUAAUUAAGAAGUAGGGGUUUUUCUCUAGUUUUACAAGAGUAGAAACUUACUAACUAUUACUAAUUUAAGACUAGAAAGUAACGACUUAACUAGAUUCAAUAAUUGGAAAGGAACUUCUGUUUAGUUUAACUUGGUUAACUCUAUGGUUGAUUUCAAGGUAAUGGUGCAAUGGAUUAAUUCUUUCGUUGGUUACCGAUUCAAGUGAUUAGAUUCGUAUUCACUACCCUAAUCCUUAGCAAAUAAACUAACUUAAACAGUGGCCAAUUGUCUAAUUUAAUUAAAUUCACUAGAUUAAUUAUUCGGGUGAAAUUAGACUUGCAAUAGUUAACUAAUUUAUUCUUUUAAUUAAGUUCUUGUUUGAUGGUCAUCUUACAAGCUUGCACAUGAAUUUACUAAAUUUUCUUAUUAAUUCUAGUUUCAUAUUCAUUAAUGCUAGACAUAUAGCAUAGUGAUCACAUAGCAUAUGAGGUCAAUAAUCAAUAGAUGUUCAUGCUAAUCAAUUAUCUUCCUAUUAACAGAAAAUUAAUUAUUAUUCACACACAAGGUUCUUUAGCAAGCUAAAAUAACAAAAAUUCACCAACUUGGAAUUAAUCCUACCAAUCAAUCAAACCAUAUUGUCAACUUUGUAUCCCCAAACAGAAGUCUAAAGGUUUUAGCUCAUAAUUAAAGUAAAUAACAGCAAACAAACAAAGUCAAGUUGCUUAAUCAUGAUGAAUAAACAAAAGAAUAAGUGGAAUGAUGAAAUUUUGCCUUAAUUACUCUCCGGAAUUGAAUUCUAGCUUCCUUCGUCGUCUUCUAGGGUUUUUCUGGCUUCUCAAUCGUAGCAAAAUACUUCUGAAUCGUCCCAGAACUCUCCUCAAUCUAUCUGCGGAAUUAUCUUUAAAUAUACGAAUCGACUUGUCGAGUCAAGUGGUGACUCGUCGAGUCCCUCUCACAUUCCCCGUAUUGUGAUAACUCUCUGGGAUCCCGAGUCAUUAUCUUCUCGAUUCUUCGAUUUGACUCGCCGAGUAGCCGAUCUGUAAUAGCCCGGAAUUUCAGUUAUUGUUAUAAUCAUGUUUUUGGGGUGUUUUUAGAGGGGAAUCGGCGAGUUGAAGCCUAGACUCGCCGAGUAGGAUCGCGUAUCUGGUCGCGGGUUCGCGACUGGACUCGAUGAGUCCGGAUAUGGACUCGGCGAGUCUGCGCUGUUUAGCGAAAACCCUAACCGUUUAGGUUUGGGACGUAUAUGAGGGACUUUAUGGCCGUCAUUGUUCACUCUAGCCUUCUGAGAGAAACCCUAAUUCGUUUGUGUGCAUCUGGAGCAAGGUUGAAGACCAUUGUUGAUUUUGGAAGAGUGGUUGUGCAAGGAAGAGAAGGCUUGGUUAAGGGAACAACAAGAGAAGUCACGUUCUGAGGAUUGGGGACACAGAGAGCACAUUAUUCAGGUAAUAAUUCGAGUUACAUUCUUCUAUGUUGAUGUGUAUAUGGAUUUAGGGUUUAUGGAACCCUUUUGUGGCUAGAUUGAAUGUUACCUUAGUCCCCCAAACGAUUGGAACCCUGUAUUGGGACCUUUGGAAGUCCAGAAUGUCCCAUGCCUGAGCAUUUCGGGAAUCAAUGGAGGUUUUGGAUUGGAAUCCUUAUGCCUUAGGUCAAAAUGUAAAUUAUGAGUCAUGGGGUGUAUUAUGAGCACCGAAGUGAGGACAUUACGUGAUGAAUCACUCUAGGAAGGCCAAACCCAUGAAUGGUCGGAGCAGUUCUGACCUUAGAAAGCAGUUUGAGCGGUUGCAUGGCAUGGACUCGCCGAGUCCGAUGAACAGACUCGGCGAGUAGCUUGAAGAUUAACUGGGACUCGUCGAGUUGUUCUUCAGACUCGGCGAGUUGAGUCGGGGUGGCCCCGCGAUUCUUCCAGGAGGAACUCGUCGAGUCAAGGAGGAUACUCGACGAGUAGAAAGGGAAUCUUAGAGAAUUGGUGAGGACGUCUAGACUCGCCGAGUCGCCCUAGCACUCGCCGAGUCAGGUCAAGUUGACCGUUGACCGUUGACCAGAGUUGACCUAUGUUUGACCUCUUAGGGAUAGUCAAACUUAGAAGAUAAAAGUGUUAAUAAGAGAUAUAUGAUGUUAUAGGGAGAUUGUAGCUCGGCGGAUCGAGCACGAGUGAUUUCGGGAUUUGCUAGCUUUCGAUAUUCACGAGGUGAGUCUUCUCACUAUACUGUACCCGGAAGGGUUUGACUGUGUGACCGGAAGGUCAGAUAUGAUAUGUGAUAUAUGUGCUAUAUGUGGUAAGUUAUUUGUUAUACGUGCUAUGUAUGUUAUGGGCCGGAAGGCGAUUAUAUUAUGGGCCGGAAGGCAUUAUGUUAUGGGCCGGAAGGCGAUUAUGUUAUGGGCCGGAAGGCGUUGUGUUAUGGACCGGAAGGUCGGCGUGGGUAGGACCGGAAGGUUUACCCAGCAGGGACGGAAGUCCCCUGAGACACAUGGACCGGAAGGUCAGGGCCUGGAAAGGCGUAUGCGCGUAAGUUGUAUAUUGGGGAACUCACUAAGCAUUUAUGCUUACAGUUGUUAUGUAUGUGUUUCAGGUACUAGCGAGGAUCGUGGGAAGGCGGCGGCGUGAUCUGUACACGCUGAUUGAUGUUUUGAGAUCUUGGGAAUUCUAGGAAUUGUAUUUUGACAUAACACUUGGAAUAAUUAUGCCUUGUUUGAAUGAAAAUACUUUAUUUUUGAAAUGAAAAGUUUGUUUGAAAAUUUGCGUUGUUACACGAUCUGACUCGCCGAGUAGAUGACAUUUUUAGUGUUUCUCUUCUUUUUUCCAUUCUCGAUCUUCUAACUGUUUCUCCCGCUUCCUUUCGCUUCCGAGCUUCAUCUUUGGACUGAAAAACAUAAUUUAACACUUUUAAGUACCUUUUGUCCAUAAUAUGCAAUAAUUUAGCUAAUAAAUGAGUAAAAAUGUAUACUUAAUAUGAACUAAUUAUGCACAUAUCAAAAUACCCCACACUUGUCUUUUGCUUGCCCCCAAGCAAAACUGAAUUUUAAACAUAUUAGAAUCAUAUAUAACAACUCCAAUCUAACCCAGCCAUUAUGCCAAGACCGCAACGCAUGCAUUUGUGUCUAAAAUUUUUCCUAAAGACCUCCCAUACUCCAAAUACUCACAAUCCUCAUAAACACUUGCCCACUCAUCCCGAACUAUGCUCAUUUUAUGCAACCCUCCGAAUCCAUCCACAGAAAACCUCUUACCCUCAAGGUGUUUUUAAUUGAGUAACCCGAGCAUACAUAUUCUAAAAUUACAACUUUUUGAUACCACUAUGGAGCUCUUUUGAAUUCAUCUCUUCUUUGAUAUUUGCUUUGAUCUCUUUGAAUUCACCACCUUUAUUGUUUGAUUUUCGGGUAUCUUCAAUUUUUUGGAUUUCUUGGAAUUUUGAUCUUUUGAUCUUCACUUUAAUUGCUCCAAAAUUCAUACAAUUUCUCUUUUAAUUCUCUUUUUUUUUAACAUGUACCUCAUUUUUUUCACUCAAAUCCCUACAUGCUUAAGCAGGGGCGCUCAAUCUCAACCUUUAUUGGCUAACGAUAACAAUCUUCCUGGAUACAUUUCAAGUUUAGGCUGCUAACCAUAUUGCAUCCCUCGGGCUGAGCAAGGUUGUGUUUUUGUCCCAUGAUUUCACUGGAAUAAGGAAGCCACAAAUGCACUAGAACGUAUACAGGCUCAACUAACAUUUGGGUUAUCAUGCAAUUAUCAACACAACUCUAACAUGGAGUCCUAAUUACUUUUACCAAAAUUUUCUAAAUUAAAUCCUAAGUAAUACUUUUGGUAUGCAAAAUUUUAAAAUUAACCUAAAUUAAGAUUCUAAAUUUUCUAAUAUGUAACCAACCCCCUACCCCACACUUAUUUGAUGCAAUGCCCUCAUUGCACAUUAUGCAUAAUAAAAACAUAAAAAGAAACUAAAGAGGGAAUUGGAACAAACUCCCCUGGGAUAGCAGUGGAUAGGUUGAUCACUUUCAUUUUAGCUCCAACUUCAAUUGACUUUAGACAUGGUAACAUCUCAUCCAUGCCUUGGGUGUCUCGUCUCGUGUGGGUCGCUCCAAAUACGCGGAAAACAGUGUAAGAUCUUCAAGAAUCAAUAUGGAAAGAAUAAGUAGUCAAGUGGUACUCUAAUUAGCAUCAAAUCAGCAGCCCCUUCGACAUGAAACCAAACGACUCGUCGAGUAUAUACCAGACUCGUCGAGUUACUUCGGGAAAUCUUUGGAUUUUUUAGAAUUAAGGGCGACUCGUCGAGUUAGUUUAGUAAAAUCGACGAGUUGGUCACUGAAUGAAAAUUAUAGAACUCUGCAUCUGAUCCAACUUCCAAUAAACUCUCUAUACUUUCUAUUCACUUCUAGACUUCCUUGCCAACAUCUCUAAGGACCGGACUCAAUACUUUAACUCUAACGCUCAUUUUUCUUGACUCUCUUUCUCACUUGGAUUCUAUAACCCUAAACCCUUUUUAAAGCUAGCACUCGUAAUUCAAUUCUGAAAAAUUGUCAAAACAUCAAACAUCAAUUAAACAUCAAAAGCAAGUUUUAAAAACAUCGAACAAACCAAAUAAAACAAACAAACACAAAAUUAAAAAUUGUUCAAUAAAAAUGCAUAAAAACAUCAAUCCUCCUCCUCAUCAUCAUCAAGCCCUACUCCACUUCCUCCUACCCCACUUCUUCUUGCACUUAUCACUUCUUCCCAUGAUGGAAUAUAUGGAAAGUUACCACCAUCGAUGUGUGGAAUGUUAAAGUAGUCAAAAAGUCGGAUAUGAGAUUGGUUGCUAAAAUUCAAGCCCCGCGCCAUUUGAUCCUGUAGUCGCCUCAUCUCCACAUUGUACCAAUCCAUUAGUACUUUGUCAUUCUCAACCGGAAUCACCGGUGCCUCCUCCUCAAUAUCCCGCUCUCUCCUCGAACGAACCCUCCUCCCCGGUGCUUCGGGACCAACAACCGGAUCAUCAUUCGGGAUGGCAUAAUGGCCACAACCAUAAUCUUCAAUAAUCCUCGCUCUCUGGAAAAGAAUUGGAUUGAACGGAGGUGUAGGGAUCAUCGUCAUGAAGUUCCAUGCACCGCGGUUCAUCAACCCAAAUGAAUUAGCUAACCGGGUGACAAACAUCUCACCAUUAAUUCGGGAAGUUUUGCGAUCCUUGACCGCACCCUCCGAGAGAUAUGAAGCUAGACACCAAGGAAUGUUGCAAAAAACGUCGGGUGUAAUGAUGCUCCAUAAAUAGAAGACGUCAAGGUUGGAAACCUUGUAUCAUCCUUUCGUUGAUUGAUGGUGGAUGAAAUGAGGUGGUGUGUUUAGGAUCGAAUGCUCCCUUCCUGUGUCGACUUUGGAAUAUAGAGUUUGUUACCAAUUGUAUUCCACCAGCCCAUACUCGUAACUCCUUCGGGAAACACCAUAUGGGUUUGUGCCAAAAAGGCCCGAAAGAUGGGUGUUGAGACCAAGGGCUGAUCAUAAACCCAUAAUCAACAGGCAAGAUCCACCACAGAGCAUUGAUGAAACUCUCCCCCAAGACAAAAACUGAAGUUGGAUGGGUGAUAAGCAUCCACUCCCCCGGUGAAAGAUACCAUGGAGAAAAACUCCAAACAAAGCUCCAAAUAAACCGGCUCUUGAAUACGGAAAACCCGGCUCCACCCGUCACAAAUCAUUGUUUCGCCUUCAUGGUGAAACUCCUUCAAAAGAUAAGGAGCUAACUCCUCCUCAUAACGAACAUUCUGCAGCCAAUCCCAAUCUAUCCGGUUGGGCACAUAGACCUCUUUCUUCUUGAUAUCAGCCAGCUUCUUCUUCCAUUUCCGCAAUGUCGAAGCGGACUCGAUUUGUGGGAAGUUUAGCCAUGGAAAAUCCCCUUGGUUGCCACUGGAACUUUGCCCCCUUCUGAACAUGGUUUCUGCAAAACAAAUACCCAAAACCCAGAAAACACAAAAUAUAAUUAAAAAAAAACAUCUCGUAUAUGUUUCCCGACUCGACUCGUCGAGUCCAGGCACGACUCGGCGAGUCGCGCGAACUGCACGAGUCAGUCGGCGGGUCGAUGGAAAUUGAACCAUGAAACCUGGAAAUUUCGUCAAGGGUUUUGUCUAGGCACUUACUAUUAAGGUACUAAGGCCAGAAUACGCAGUCAAAACAACAUAAUUCAUAAAAAAUCAAAACCCUAGAAAUUUACUACUUUUCAAAAAUGGGUUUUUCAUGCAAUUGCUACCAUAGAUGGCCUUAUAAUCACGUUCUUAACAGAAAACAAGAAGAAAUUUGUUACCUUUUGAGAUUGAACUUGAGAAAUUUGAAGAAAACUUGAAGAACAAAGAUGAACGCUUGAGAGAAAGUUUAGAGAGAGGCGCCCGACGAGUGUGUAUGUGAAAAACUGAUUCUUAGGGAUAAAACCCUAGUUACCGGUUGUAAAAGUAAUUUCGAAAUUAUUUUUUUUUCUGUAAAUAAUACCGACUCGUCGAGUCGUGGUCAGACUCAGCGAGUCUGGUCGCGAAGUCAAACUUUUUCAUAAUUUUCAAAAAUUUUUUAUUUAUUUAAAAUCAUUUCACCCCACACUUAACCUAUGCACACUCUCAGGUAGACAUGUCCGAUGAUUUGGAAGAUUAAAAUUCUAAAAACGAGGGAAAAAUAAAAAAAAAAACUAAAAAGUAAAAGAAAGCAAACUCUAUAUAACGGGUUGCCUCCCGCCAAGUGCUUCUUUUUAAGGAGUCAUUAGCUAGACUUCUUCCCAUCUACGUUUCGUCAUCUCCGAGCACCGAGAACACACGCCUAACUUUUUGUGAUUUGUACUUGGUCUUGUAAGCGUGAAUCUUCUUCUUGUAAGCCCUUUUCAAUGCAUCUCUUUUCCUUUUCACAGCCUCAUCCUCAGCUGCUUGGGCUUCCCUUUUUCUCUUUUUCUUCUUUAUCCCAUUGUUUUUCACCUUCUCUUGCACCUCCUUCUCUUUGAAUUUAAUUACUUCACAUUUCAUGAUGGUUCGUGCUUUAGGUUUAGUAGCGAAUGGUUGAUCAGCUUCCACCCCCCUUUCCUUUGUCUCUUCAUCCCUUCCAGUGCUCAACCCAUCUUCAAACGGAAUUGUAUCAAGACAUGCUACAUCGGCAUAUUGAACUUUCCUUCCCUUUCCUCUUUCUGUUGUUUGUUCUUCUAAAGAAUCAUGAAUAAUAUCUAAAUUCGAGGUAUGUGAAGAACUAGUAACAAGCAGAUUUAAGUCGGCCAAGUCUUUGUCCAAUUCGACUGAACUCGUCGAGUCCAUUAAAGUGACUCAGCGAGUCUGAUCGGGUUUCAUUACUUCUUGGGUGUUUUCUGAGUUGGCUCCUUCCAGUAGCUUUUGUAACUCUUCCAAGUCCUUGUUAACAUCCACAUCUUCUUCAGAGUGUAUCAAAAACUUGCUCGGAUCAUCUUUUAGCAAAAGUUCAAGCUCUCUUUGUAAUAUCUCAUCAUCCAAUUGGAUAAUUGAGAUUUCUUCAUUCUUUUCCUCUUCUUUCUUGGCUUCUAGAACAGCUUUAAACAUUAUAGAUUCAUCACCCACCAUCAAUGUCAAUGUAGACUCACAUAUAUCAAUCAAAGCACACACGGUGUUCAAGAAUGAUCUCCCCAAAAUAAUUGGAAUUUCGGGGUCUUCUUUCAUAUCAACUACCACGAAGUCUACUGGGAAAAUAAAGUUGUCAAAUUUUAUUAGGAGAUCCUCACAAACGCCUUGUGGAUGAAUUAUCGUCUUGUCCGCCAAAUGGAUCUUCAUAUUCACCGGCCUUGGUUCUGGUAAAUUCAACUUCUUAAAGAAUGACAAAGGCAUCAAAUUGAUGCUUGCCCCCGAAUCGGCUAAUGCUCGGGUGAAAACUUCAUUACCAAAUUGGCACGGAAUCACCAUAUUUCCCGGAUCACCCUUCUUUUCAGGUAGCUCACUCAUCAAUAUUUCCGCAACUUCAGCCAAACCUUUCCUAGCAGCAGAAAGGCCCUUAAGCAUGUUGAAGUACUUAGGAGUUUGUAGCAUUGUUUCCACAAAUGGUACAUUAACUUGUAAAGCUUUAACAUGCAUCAUGAAGGUUCUGUAUGCUUCUACUUUUUCUGCAGGCAUGGCUUUGAUUGGGUAUGGCAGAGGGGGAUUAUAAGGCUUCAAGGAACUAACAGGUUUCUCAUUUACGCAUGGACUCGUCGAGUCCAUUGGAGUGACUCGGCGAGUCGGAUCGGGUUUUGCUGGGUCCGAUUCUUUUACCUUUUCUGCCUUCUUCUUGGAGAUUGAUAGUGCUUCUGUAACUGUUUCUUCACUGCUGGAGGUUAUUACACUUACAUUCUCCAUUCUUGGAUUGGGUUCGGUGUUGCUCGAAAGUUGACCCGGUCUUCUAUCAUUCACUUGAUGUGCAAGCUGCCCCAGCUGUUUCUCAAUGUUGAGAAUCGAUGCUUGCUGAUUCCUAAGCAUGUUUCUGGUCUCGUGUAUGGCAGCAUCGUGAUCAUUGUGUCUUUUUUCGGACGCGGCUAUGAAUCUAGUGAAUAACUCUUCUAAAUCGGCUUUCUUUUCUACCGGUUCUUCCUUUUGGUAUAGUCCCCUCUCCUUCUGCUUGUAUUUCUCCUCCUUUGCCUUCUUAUACUCCUCGUAUGGUAGCCAAUCCUUCUUAGGUUUCCGCCAAUUUUCAUCAUAUCGAUCACCACUUGAAUAAAAGACUUGAGCUUUCUUAUUUCCAUUCUCAUCCAAAUCACAAUCCUUUGUGAGAUGGGGCCCUCUACAAUUUUCGCAUCCUACCCUAAUAGCAUGGAUUGCUUGAUCCAUUUUUGUCAUUCUUCGAUCUAGACUAUCAAGCUUUGCUAUCACCGCCGCCAUGCUAUCAUUUUCCGCGUUUACUACCCCUUGAAUUACUUCGUUUCUCGGAUUGCGGUAUUCUCUAGAGUGCGUAGAGAAUUCUUCAAUUAAUUCUUUAAUUACCGGGGUCGCCUUCUUUGUGAGCGGGCCUUGAGAAUCAAGUAAUUGCCUUGUGGUGACAUUGACUCCAUCAUAGAAAAUGGAGACCUCUUGUUGGCUAUUAAGGUCAUGGUGUGGGCAAUUUCUAAGUAGGCUCUUGUACCUUUCCCAAGCUUCAUAAAGAGAUUCUCCGGGUUGUUGCUCGAAGUUGGCAAUGGCUUUCUUUAGCUUGGCUAUCUUGGAGGGCGGGCAGAAAUGGUCUAUGAACUCUUCUUUCAUCUUGGCCCAUGUGGUGACCGAUCCGGGAGGAAGUGACUUUAACCAAUCUUUUGCAGCUCCUUCAAAUGUGACAGGAAGCAUGCGAAGAAGCUGGGUCUCGCGUGGAACAUUCGGGACAUUGAAGUAAUCGGCCACAUCAUUCACUUUGACAAAGUGCUUGUAAGCGUCUUCAUGAUCCUUCCCGUAAAAAGGAAUCUCCUUGAGUUGGGCGAGAAUAUGGCCUUUCAGUUCGAAAUUUGUUGUUGCGGGAAUUGCGGGUUGCACAAGUCCCGGCCCGGUGUCAUCACGCAUCCUUUUCUUCCAUUCCCCCAUGGGGACUUCAUCAAUGUUAGCCAUUGUGAUAGCUAACUCUUCUUUGGAAUCAGUUUCGUGCUCGUAAGUAUGCUCUUCUUCUUCCUCUGUCUCGUACUCGAUAUCUUCUUGAAUUGGUUCUUCAAUUGUCAACGAGGCACUGAAUGCUCCUAAUUUGUUGCUCUUCUUCUUGCUGAAAACGAAUUUUAAGUUUUUGAGUGGUGAGUUCUUUGAAGAUGUGGUUUCUCCAACGGCUUUUCCUUUGCUUCUUCUUAAUGCGGAUUCCGGGUCUUCCAAAGGAGGGACCAGAGGUGUAUCAGAUCCUCGGGUCAUGAAACAACUGUAAACAAACAAAACAAAAGAAACAAAACGCGUAAAAAGAACAAAAACGGAAUAAAAAAAUUAAAGCUAAAACAGCGAUGUACUCGCCGAGUUGGCACGAAUGCACUCAGCGAGUUCAAAGCAAAACCUGAAAAGAAAUUUCUAGUUAUCCUAAAAAUAGAAUUUUAUUUAAACUAAUUGUACUUACUAAAUUACUUUGUAAAUAACUUUGUAAAUAACUUUGUGCAAGAUAAAUCCCACACAAAGGAUCGAUUAAACUAGAAUUUAAUACUAAUUUUAGAACCACUCCCCAGCAACGGCGCCAAAAACUUGAUGCGUGCAAACUCACAUAGUUUUAAAUCUACUUUUAAUUAUCAAAUAACACACAAAAGGUAGUGAACCUAUCAAUUGUGGUAUAGCUAAAUAAGCAGGGAAUCGAACACAGGGAACGGCAAAUUAAACUAAAAACUAAUUUAAUCUAAGUUAAUUAAGAAGUAGGGGUUUUUCUCUAGUUUUACAAGACUAGAAACUUACUAACUAUUACUAAUUUAAGACUAGAAAAUAACGACUUAACUAGAUUCAAUAAUUGGAAAGGAACUUCUGUUUAGUUCAACUUGGUUAACUCUAUGGUUGAUUUCAAGGUAAUGGUGCAAUGGAUUAAUUCUUUCGUUGGUUACCGAUUCAAGUGAUUAGAUUCGUAUUCACUACCCUAAUCCUUAGCAAAUAAACUAACUUAAACAGUGGCCAAUUGUCUAAUUUAAUUAUAUUCACUAGAUUAAUUAUUCGGGUUAAGUUAGACUUGCAAUAGUUAACUAAUUUAUUCUUUUAAUUAACUUCUUGUUUGAUGGUCAUCUUACAAGCUUGCACAUGAAUUUACUCAAUUUUCUUAUUAAUUCUAGUUUCAUAUUCAUUAAUCCUAGACAUAUAGCAUAGUGAUCACAUAGCAUAUGAGGUCAAUAAUCAAUAGAUGUUCAUGCUAAUCAAUUAUCUUCCUAUUAACAGAAAAUUAAUUAUUAUUCACACACAAGGUUCUUUAGCAAGCUAAAAUAACAAAAAUUCACCAACUUGGAAUUAAUCCUACCAAUCAAUCAAACCAUAUUGUCAACUUUGUAUUCCCAAACAGAAGUCUAAAGGUUUUAGCUCAUAAUUAAAGUAAAUAACAGCAAACAAACAAAGUUAAGUUGCUUAAUCAUGAUGAUAAAACAAAAGAAUAAGUGGAAUGAUGAAAUUUUGCCUUAAUUACUCUCCGAAAUUGAAUUCUAGCUUCCUUCGUCGUCUUCUAGGGUUUUUCUGGCUUCUCAAUCGUAGCAAAAUACUUCUGAAUCGUCCCAGAACUCUCCUCAAUCGAUCUACGAAUUAUCUUUAAAUAUACGAAUCGACUCGUCGAGUCAAGUGGUGACUCAUCGAGUCCCUCUCACAUUCCCCGUAUUGUGAUAACUCUCUGGGAUCCCGAGUCAUUAUCUUCUCGAUUCUUCGAUUGGACUCGCCGAGUAGCCGAUCUGACUCGCCGAGUAGAUGACAUUUUUAGUGUUUCUCUUCUUUUUUCCAUUCUCGAUCUUCUAACUGUUUCUCCCGCUUCCUUUCGCUUCCGAGCUUCAUCUUUGGACUGAAAAACAUAAUUUAACACUUUUGAGUACCUUUUGUCCAUAAUAUGCAAUAAUUAAGCUAAUAAAUGAAUAAAAAUGUAUACUUAAUAUGAACUAAUUAUGCACAUAUCACCCGUUGUUUGAACUUCCAGCCCCUUGUCCGUUGACUCCUCCAUUGUUCCCUUGGUGAAUUUGUGCCAUAGCCGCGGUGACUGCAGCAGAUACCGCUUCCUGAAAAGCAACAGAGUUGAACUCAGGCGGGUUUGGCUCAGGGUUUCUGCAGGUUGGUCGUCAAGGCAUCUUUCUGCCAUGGAACGGAAAGAUGUUGAGUGUCUGUGCUUUUUGUGAGAUUGUGAUCCUAUAAACUAGGUGUGGCACAAACUUAAGUAAUUUCACAAAUUAGCACACAAUCAUGGAUAUGUAACACAUAGCAGAUUAAAACGUCACAGUAAACAUAUAAAAGUCUUCAUUAAUAUUAUCCGCACUUUGAUACAUGAAAACUUUGCUCGAAAGAGCAUACAUAAACGAUACUAGUUCGGCAGCAUAACGGCUCUAUGAGUAGUGUAAUCACUUAAACAUAGAUUUGAUGGCACAUAGCAUAGAUCAUAGUACUAGUAAGAUAAUUCUAUUCCUAACACUCUAUGGAGCUAUGACAGUAGCGAGAUCAUAUGCCGAAGUGUUGAGCUAACAACUGAGCCAUCUCACUCAUUUCUCCAAUGACCUCAUCCCUUUCAUGCUUAGCUCGCACUACGCGUGCUUCCAUGGCGAAUAGUUGUCGCCGUAGGGCGGCAAUCUCAGCUUUGGGGGAGAGAUUCUCCCUUGUGGGAUUCACUGGUGGGGCGGGGUGGUCCUGUUGCGCCUCGCUGACAGGUGGUGUGGCGAAGUCCUCGCCUAAGUCUUGUCCUUCCUCCCUGUCAUCAUCGGCCUCAUCGAACUCGUAGUCAGUGUCCGUGUACUCGUCAGGCCCAAUGUCAUGUGCUCCCCUUUGAUCUCCUUCAAGCUCAUCUUCAAUCAUCCUGUGAGCCACUAAGACCUGAUGAAACAGAAUGCCCUGCUGCUCCCCUUCCAUAGCGACUGAGAGGAGGUAUACGAAUAAACUAUCAUUACUCCUAGGAUGCUACAAUUAUUGUAUAGAUUGAGCUGAUGUUCUCUUCUUGGUGAUAAAGGGGGUAUGUUUUUAGCUUCCCUAGCCAUCACGAUUUCCUCGGGACAUGUGAUAGUUGUGCCUUGGAGGAAAUGUUGUUGAUCAGGCUACAUCAACUCCUUGAUACGACUAUGAAUGGUCCUGGCUUAACCGAGAUGCUAGCAUUAUCUUGCUUGGUUCGGUAUUAUGUUCUUUUUCCUAAUUCACACAAGCAAAGAUGUUUUAUCAUUGUGUUUUACUUAUUUUGUUCAGAGUUGUGUUAGUCCCUCUUUUUGGUUUAUAGUUGCAUAUCAAUGUGUGGUUAGAUAUGCUAGUUCACUAUAAACAGAGUUCUGAUACCAACCUGUCACACCCCCGAACCAGACGGCGGAACGUCCGAGGGCUCUUGUGACUUAAAUUAAAUACCAUCACAAUGAAUAUACAUGAAUCUUAACAUAAAUCAUCACCAUGCAUUAAAAUAAUACAACUGAUAUUGUUUACAUCCAGUACGUUGUUUUGAACAUUUCGAAUUCAUAAAAUAGAUUAUCUGAUAGAUAUAAUAAGCAAAACACCCAGACGUUACUUGGUACUUAUUCUUCGGUUUACCUGUUACCUGAGAAUACAAGUUAAUUUGAAAAACGUCAACAUCUGAAAUGUUGGUGAGUUCAUAAGCAAUGUUGUGAUAAAAUGAUUUGUUGUAGUUUGUAAAACCCAAAAAAUCCGAUAUUCUCUGAAAAGAUCAUUGUUUAUAAAAUAAAAGUGUGAAGAUCCGUAAAUAUAUGUUUGUUGAUUUUCAAAACAUGUAUAAAUGUUGAACUUUAGUGUUAAUCGCGCAAGUGAAGAUGUUGAACUUCCUAGGAAAACCCGAUGUUUUCUCAAUACAUAAAUUACAGUGAUUUCUCAAUUGUUAUACCGUCACGACGAAUGAUGUUGAUUACUCGGGUGGCGUUGGAUUAAUUUAGGUUUGUGAGUUGUUAUAACCACGCAUUAAAAAAUGACUAGUUUAUAACUACAGAUUUCGAACGAUCCUUAAAGGCAUCGCCGGUUACUACUCAGUUAAUCCACAACCAUGAUUACUCUUGAUUAACGUCCUGAAUUUGUUUAUCUUGAUUACUCGUAAGCCUAACAAACAAGGAAAAGGGGGAGUACGAAGUCCCAUUAUUUCAGUGAGUUAUUUUAGGCUGUCGGGGAUGCGAAAGGCACAUUGGCACAACUCGCACUUGACUUCUUGACCUCAUUAGCAACACUAAUGGGCCACUAGGUCCCAAUAGCACAUUAGAACCGUUGAAGUCCUUGUACAUGAAAUCGGGUCAUAGGAGGCCUAAUAGCACAUAAGCAUAUUCCCUUUGGGCCCAAAGAUCAUGUUAAUGCGCUAGCAAGGCCCAACAAGCAUGAUUUGUGUAACAGCUCAAAUUUUCAAAUAAAUUUUUCGUUAAAAAUAAAACAUCAUUAUUCGACAAAAGGGUUUAUUCCAAGUUUAUUUCAAAAUAAAAAUAAAAAUAAUAAAUCUCCAGGAUCUCCAACAGUGGCAGUGUGUACGUGUCACGCCGGCGCCUUCCCACGGUCAUCACUAGUACCUGAAAAACAUAAACACAACUAGUAAGCAUAAAUGCUUAGUGAGUUCCCCAGUAUACGACUUACCCACAUACGCCUUCCGGCCCGGACCUUUCGGACCACAUAAUAUUGCCUUCCGGCCCGGACCUUGCGGUCCACAUAACAUUGCCUUCCGGCCCGGAUCUUUCGAUCCACAUAACAUUGCCUUCCGGCCCGGAUCUUUCGAUCCACAUAACAUAUAUCGCAUAUAAGCACACAUCACAUAUAAAGCAUCUACCUCUCUAGACAUAGCAUGAAUAUAACACACACGACCUUCCGGUCUAACAGUCAAACCCUUCCGGGUGAAGUAUAGUGAGAAGACUCACCUCGUAGUACGCAGGCUAUAACCUCUUCGAGCUACUCGCACACAAUCCGCUAGUCCGCAGGUUCCCUAUAAUACCACAGCCUUAGUUAAUGAUCUUAUCAAACAAGACAACUGACCCCUCUAAGAUAUAUACAGGUCAACGGUCAAUCUUGACCGGACUCGUCGAGUGCAAAGGGUAACUCGACGAGUAUAGACAUCCUGACACCACUCGCCGAGUCUGAAGAACGACUCGACGAGUUCCAGUAGAUCUUCAAGCUACUCGCCGAGUCUGAAGAACAACUCGACGAGUCCUAGUGAACCUUCAAGCUACUCGCCGAGUCUGAAGAACAACUCGGCGAGUUCUAGUGAAUCUUCAAGCUACUCGCCGAGUCUGAUCAUUGGACUCGGCGAGUCCUCGCCAUGCAGUCAAUCCGCUGCCUCCUGUAUUUCGCAUGAUUUCGAAGUAUAUAGAUAUAGGGCUUCCUGGACUUUCACAUAUACUAUUACGGGGUUUUUUAACACUUAUAACAACAAUAUAAUCUAACUAACCCUUAAUUGGGUUUCCUAAACCCUAAACUCGCAUACAACGUAAAAGUUACAGAUUUCGAUCCGAAGAUUACCUGGAAACGUGUUCCCUGUGUCUCCAAACCUCCAGUACUCGAUUCCUUUGAUCACCACCUUGCUCCUCCUUGUCUAACAAUCUCUUCAAGCCUUCUCAAGUCCUCUCUCUUGCUUCAGAUGCUCACACACUCCCAGGGGAUCUUCAACCGGCCAAAAGACGCGACAUGACGGCCAUAAGAUCGUUAUAUACGAUCAGAAAUGAAACGGCUAGGGUUCAGCUGAACGGCGUCGACUCGCCGAGUCCCUUAUUGGACUCGUCGAGUCCAGUCGCGCGUCUGCGACCAAGACCAUGGCCCUACUCGGCGAGUCGUGCACCAACUCGCCGAGUCCCCUCCUAAAUGUGCCCCAAAAAUAAUUUAAAGAAAUACCUGAAAUUCCGGGCUGUUACAACUCUCCCCCACUAGAACUAGACUUCGCCCUCGAAGUCUCUCAUUCUGCGAAUAACUCCGGAUGUUGCUCCCGCAUUUCUCUUUCCGGCUCCCAAGUCAUCUCCGAUCCCUUCCGAUGUUGCCACUGAACCAACACCAGAGGUAUUUCCUUGUUCCGUAGAACCUUGAUCUUCCGAUCCCUGAUAGCUACUGGUCUCUCGGCGUAAUUCAGACUCGCAUCUACCUGGAUAUCUUCUAACGGAACCACUGCUGCCUCAUCGGCUAUACACUUCCUCAGCUGUGAUACGUGGAAGGUAUUGUGAAUCUGAUUCAGCUCCGCUGGCAACUCCAACCGAUAAGCUACCCGACCUACCCUUGCAAUUACCCGAAAUGGACCUAUGAACCGGGGCCCCAAUUUGCCCCUCUUCCUGAACCGAAUCACCCCUUUCCAAGGAGAAACCUUUAGGAGAACGAAGUCGCCGACCUGGAAUUCGAGCUCGGACCGGCGUCUGUCCGCAUAACUCUUCUGUCGGCUCUGGGCGGUCAAUAACCUCUGCCUCACCCGUUGGAUCUGUUCAGUCGUUUGAAGUACGAUCUCUGUACUGCCCAUCACUCUCUGUCCCACUUCUCCCCAGCAAAUGGGAGUCCGACACCUCCUACCAUACAACAACUCAAAAGGUGGCAUACCAAUGCUCGAAUGAUGGCUGUUGUUGUAGGAAAACUCAGCCAGCGGCAGAUGCGCAUCCCAGCUACCCCCGAAGUCUAACACACACGCUCUAAGCAUAUCUUCCAAUGUCUGGAUCGUCCGCUCGCUUUGACCGUCGGUCUGGGGAUGGUAUGCGGUACUAAAAUGCAGUUUAGUACCCAACUCCUCAUGGAAUUUCUUCCAGAACCUGGAAGUGAAACGUACAUCGCGGUCCGAAACAAUCGAGGUCGGCACUCCAUGCCGAGAUACUAUCUCUCUCACGUACAACUCCGCCAACUUCUCUGCUGAUGAACUUUCACUAAUGGCAAGGAAAUGUGCACUCUUUGUUAGUCUAUCCACAAUCACCCAAAUCGCAUCGACUCCCCUGGCAGUUUUCGGCAAUUUGGUGAUGAAAUCCAUCGUGAUCUGAUCCCACUUCCACUCAGGGAUCUCCAAGGGUUGCAACUUACCGUGCGGUCUCUGGUGCUCGGCCUUAACUUUACGGCAGGUCAAACACCUCUCCACGAACCACGCAACGUCUCUCUUCAUGCAAGGCCACCAGUACUCCUUUUUCAAAUCCAGAUACAUUUUCGUAGCACCGGGAUGGAUCGAGAAUUUCGAUCUAUGUGCCUCCUCCAUCAAAAUGACACGCGUACCGCCCACGAAUGGCACCCAGAUCCGACCCUGAAAUGUCAGAAGUCCCCGCCCAUCCGUAACGAACUCUGAAAUUAACCCGACGACCCGCUCCUGUUUCUGCAUCCCAGACUUCACAACCUCGGCCUGUGCCCCACGAAUAGUAUCUAAUACCGGAGUCACCACCGUCAAUCUCAAACAUACGUCCCGCAAUGGAGUACCCUCCGCCCUACGACUCAAUGCAUCGGCUACCACAUUAGCCUUGCCUGGGUGGUAUAGGAUCUCACAGUCAUAAUCCUUAACCACGUCUAACCAUCUCCUCUGGCGCAUGUUUAGGUUGGGUUGAUCCAUCAAAUACUUCAAACUCUUAUGGUCCGUGUAUAUGGUACAACGAACCCCGUACAGGUAGUGACGCCAAAUUUUGAGGGCGAACACUACUGCCCCCAACUCUAAGUCAUGCGUGGGAUAUCUCGCUUCGUGAGGCUUCAGCUGCCUCGAUGCAUAGGCUAUCACAUGGCCCCUCUGCAUCAACACUGCACCCAGUCCUGAAAUCGAUGCGUCGCAAUAUACGACGAAGUCCUCCAUCCCUUCAGGAAGGGCUAAUACUGGUGCUUCGCACAGUCUCUGACGAAGUGUCUCGAAGGAAGUCUGCUGCUCGGGUCCCCAUGAGAAUGUAACACCCUUUCGGGUCAAUUUGGUAAGUGGCACUGCGAUCUUGGAGAAGUCCCUAAUGAACCUUCGAUAGUACCCUGCCAACCCAAGGAAACUCCUGAUCUCCGAAGGUGACUUUGGUGCCUCCCAUCUCAUCACCGCCUCCACCUUGGCCGGAUCGACCAAUAUCCCUGCCUGAUUUACAACGUGCCCCAGAAAUUGAACCUCCCGUAACCAGAAGUCACAUUUGGAGAAUUUUGCAUAUAGCUUCUCCGACCUCAGUACCUCAAGGACCUCCCUCAAAUGUCCCUCAUGCUGCUCCCUAGACCGCGAAUACACCAGAAUGUCGUCGAUGAAUACAAUCACAGACCGAUCCAGCAUCGGCCUGCAUACCCUGUUCAUGAGAUCCAUGAACACUGCUGGGGCAUUGGUGAGCCCAAAAGGCAUCACCACGAACUCGUAAUGCCCAUACCGCGUCCUAAAGGCUGUCUUCUGGACGUCCUCAUCCCGCACCCUUACCUGAUGGUACCCUGAUCUCAAAUCAAUCUUGGAAAACCAAGAUGCCCCUUGCAACUGAUCGAAUAGAUCAUCGAUUCUUGGUAACGGAUAGCGGUUCUUAACUGUCACCUUGUUCAGUUCCCGGUAAUCGAUACACAUCCGGUGUGAACCAUCCUUCUUCUUGACGAACAGAAUCGGUGCUCCCCACGGCGAGCUACUCGGCCGAAUAAAUCCCUUCCCCAACAACUCUUGAAGUUGCGAGGACAAUUCUUGCAUCUCUGGAGGUGCAAGACGAUAAGGCACCUUCGCAAUAGGCGCCGCCCCUGGAACUAGGUCGAUACCAAACUCCACUUGCCUCGCAGGAGGUAUUCCCGGCAAAUCCUCGGGGAAAACAUCUGGAAACUCGCGCACCACUGGAACCUCCUUCAAUGUCUUCGGUCUCUCGGAACUCUCCCGCGUAUCCAUCACAUACGCCACAAAACCGUUACAUCCCCGCUGUAGGCAUUGCCUCGCCCUAGCAGCCGAACAAAAAGCUGAUCUCGAACGGGUACCCUCGCCGUACACCGUAAGAACUCCCCCACUAGGGUCUCGUAUAGUCACCAACUGACGCUCGCAGUCGAUGACAGCGCUGAAUCGGCUCAACCAGUCCAUGCCUACAAUGACACAGACAUCACCCAUCGCAAUAGGAAUUAGGUCAAUCGGAAAUGCGACCCCGAAGAUCUCUAGCACACAUCCCCGAAAAACCUCCGUAGCACAAAUCACCCUCUCAGCCGCAAUGGAAACGCUCAAAGGCCGACUUAACGGCUCACGACUAAUGCCGAUGUGCUGACUAAAAGCUAACGAUACAAACGAUCUACUCGCACCCGAAUCAAAUAAUACUAGAGCAGGCAUAGAGUUCACAAGGAAAGUACCUACACAUAUAUUAACAUAAGCAUAACAUUUCGACCUUUAAUUAAAUACAUGAAAGAUAACAUACCUGCCACAACAUCGGGCGCAGCGCGGACCUCCUCCGCAGUCAGCUGAAAGGCUCUCCCGCGAGCCCUCGGGGCCUCGACCUUCACCGGUCGGGUCUCAGUAGUCCGGGUAGUAGGUGUAGCUCCCUGACGAAGUUGCGGGCACUCGGCCUUCCGAUGGCCUGUCUGGUUGCAGUGAAAGCAAACCAUAAACCCCUUAGGGCAAUCCCUGGCAAUAUGUCCGUCCUUGCCACACUUGUAGCAACCACCAGCUCGACACGCCCCCUCGUGACUCUUGCCGCACUUCGCGCAAGUGCGACCCUUCGAACCUCCCAUCCUCGAAUCAGCGAACUUAGUCCGCUUGGCUGCCGGCUGAGACUGGGCCGGCCGUCGAUCCACCUGCCGAGACUCAGCCUCCUCCCUCGCUUGAGUCUCCAACUCAAUCUCGCGCUUCCUGGCGUUCGCCUGAAGCUCAGUGAAAGUACGAUAGGUGGAGUUUGACACAAACUCCCGAAUCUCCCUCUUCAAAACACCCAAAUAGCGGCUCAUCCGCGACUGCUCCGUAGAUACCAGCUCGGGGCAGAACAUUGCCCUCUCAUGAAACUUCCGUGUGAUCACUGCCACGGAAUCAGUACCCUGCUUAAGGGUCAAGAACUCCUGAAUCAAUCGCUCCCUCUCUACCGGGGGAACGUACUCAUCCCUGAACAUCUCUGUAAACCUCUCCCAUGUCACCGCCGAAAUCUCUGCCUGAGUGAAGUUCGCUGUCACGAACUUCCACCAAUCCUUCGCUCCCAGACGGAGCUGGUUCAAGGCGAACCGUACCCUCAAGUGCUCCGGGCAUGAGCAAGUAUAGAAACACCCCUCGAUGUCGGCGAUCCACCUCAUAGCUGCAAUCGGAUCCUGCGUCCCAUCAAAUUCAGGGGGUUUCGUGUUGCUGAAUUCCCUGAAUGGUAAUGAAUCACCCCCUUGCGGCCUGGCAGCAGCCACCGCUGCGGUAGCGGCAGCAACUGCAGCUUCAGAAAUUGCGGCGCACCGCUCCUCAAACUCCUCCAUCAACGUGGUCUUAAUAGACCCAAACAUCUCCGGGAUCUCAGCCCGGACCGCCGCAGCUACCUCUUCCUGAAUAAUCUGACGAAUCUCCUCGUCACUCGCACCGCUCGAACUCGCCCCAUUGCGUGUGAUAACCAUGAUGUCUCUGAAAUACAACAUAAAAUCAUCAGAGACUCCACCAAGUACAAUUGUACUCAAUACGCGCCCUACCCAGUCUCCGAUUUCCAGGGAUUCUUAUUUGAGUCUUCCACUGAUCCGGUGCCUUCGGUAGUACGGGCCCAAUACUACCGACCACACCGUAUCAGUAUUCGUCCCAAAUCUUCCUCCCCAAAUCCCGAAUAACGGGUACUCUACUUCUAGUAUGUACUAUUUACUUGCACGCUACCAAAUAUCUCAUAUAAGCAAUCUCCCUAGACUAAGGCAUCACAAAACAGGCAAUUCUAUUCCUAUCAUGUAUACCUAGUCUUCUAGCAUGCAUAACAAUUCAUAAUUCAGUGCAUAACAUAACAUCGUAAGGUAUUCUGGGGAUCUUUACCGUUCGGACGCUGGCUGCUCGUACACACUGUUCCACCCUUGUUUUUACCGCCUUGCCCUUUAUAAAAUGUUAUGUCCUUAUUAUUUUUAAGAAAAAGUUUUUCCUCAAAUCCCCGGUCUGAGUUCAGUUGCACCCAAAAGUACACCCGAAUCCCUCAAACCAAGGCUCUGAUACCAAUUGUAACAGCUCAAAUUUUCAAAUAAAUUUUUCGUUAAAAAUAAAACAUCAUUAUUCGACAAAAGGGUUUAUUCCAAGUUUAUUUCAAAAUAAAAAUAAUAAAUCUCCAGGAUCUCCAACAGUGGCAGUGUGUACGUGUCACGCCGGCGCCUUCCCACGGUCAUCACUAGUACCUGAAAAACAUAAACACAACUAGUAAGCAUAAAUGCUUAGUGAGUUCCCCAGUAUACGACUUACCCACAUACGCCUUCCGGCCCGGACCUUUCGGUCCACAUAAUAUUGCCUUCCGGCCCGGACCUUUCGGUCCACAUAACAUUGCCUUCCGGCCCGGAUCUUUCGAUCCACAUAACAUUGCCUUCCGGCCCGGAUCUUUCGAUCCACAAGAUAAUUGCCUUCCGGCCCAUACACAUAUAUAACACAUAAUACAAAUACUCUAACACAUAAAGCACAUAUAUCAUACCGUUCUUUCUAACACAUAAAGUCUCGCCUUCCGGCCCGUAUAAUCAUACAUCACAUAUAAGCACACAUCACAUAUAAAGCAUCUAUCUCUCUAGACAUAGCAUGAAUAUAACACACGCGACCUUCCGGUCUAACAGUCAAACCCUUCCGGGUGAAGUAUAGUGAGAAGACUCACCUCGUAGUACGCAGGCUAUAACCUCCUCGAGCUACUCGCACACAAUCCGCUAGUCCGCAGGUUCCCUAUAAUACCACAGCCCUAGUUAAUGAUCUUAUCAAACAAGACAACUGACCCCUCUAAGAUAUAUACAGGUCAACGGUCAAUCUUGACCGGACUCGUCGAGUACAAAGGGUAACUCGACGAGUAUAGACAUCCUGACACCACUCGCCGAGUCCGAAGAACGACUCGACGAGUUCCAGUAAGUCUUCAAGCUACUCGCCGAGUCUGAAGAACAACUCGGCGAGUCCUAGUGAAUCUUCAAGCUACUCGCCGAGUCUGAUCAUUGGACUCGGCGAGUCCUCGCCAUGCAGUCAACCAACUGCCUCCUGUAAUUCGCAUGAUUCCGUAAUAUAUAGAUAUGGGACUUCCUGGACCUUUACACAUACUAUUACUGGGAUUUAAACACUUGUAACAACUCUAUAAUCUAUCAAAUCCUUAAAUGGGUUUCCUAAACCCUAGAUUCGUGUACAACACCAAAACUACAGAAAUGAUCCGAGGAUUACCUGGAAAACGUGAUCCCUGCGUCCCCAACCUUCAGAGCUCAACCCCUUGAUCCUCCUUUGAUCACCACCUUGCCUCUCCUUGCCUAACAACCUCUUUAAGCUUCCACUAGCCUUCACCCUUGCUCCAGAUGCCCACAGUCGUUUAGGUUAUCUUCAAUCGGCCAAAAGACGAGACAUGACGGCCCUAAAGACAUUAUAUACGAUCCAGAAUCGAAACGGCUAGGGUUUCAGCUUGAACAGCGUCGACUCGCCGAGUCCCUAAUGGACUCGUCGAGUCCAGUCGCGAAUCUGUGACCAAGACCGUGGUCCUACUCGGCGAGUCAGGCAUCAACUCGCCGAGUCCCCCCUAAAUAUUCCCCAAAUUAAUUUAAAGUAAUACCUGAAAUUCCGGGCUGUUACAAUUUGAAACUUCCAAGCCGAAAGUUUUUAAAUUGGCUCAUCGUAGUUAUCGCGUAUUUAUUUAGGUGGUUUGGUUUAGUGCUUGUUGUUUUGUAUUGAUUCGAGACCGAAUCACUUCGUUUGUAACGAUAUUUGUCGUUGAAAGUGUAUUUGUUUUCCGUUUUGUUGGAAGUCGUGGAUCUUGUAUUUUGUAUUAAUGAAUUAAUUUGUUUAAAGGUGGAAUUUGACCUUUUCACUACCCUUCUUUUAUAAAAAUAACACUUUUGGUCCUAUAAUAUAAAAGAAUUUCAUUUUUAGUUCCUUAAAACAUUUUCUUGAUACUUUUGUAUCAUAAACUUGUUGAAAAGAUAGUUCUAACCCAAAAUUUAUUUUGUUGGCAGCUUCAGCCCUUCCAAAAUGGUGUUUCUCGGUUAGAACCCUAUUUUUCUUAACUUUUACAGUUUUGGCCCAAAAUCUAAAAACUUUGCAUUUUCGGUCCUUUUUCACAGUGAAAAGCAUUUUUGACCCUUAAAAUAUUUUGUUAUGCUAAUUAACCCCUGUUUUACAGAAAGUUUCAUUUCAGCCCCUUAAAUUUAUCAUUUUUCGCAUUUUGAAGCUUACUGGGCCGAAAAGCCCAAAAUUAGUCCAUUAAGCUAAAAAUUUACAUUUUAAGUCCCUUGAAAAUUCUAUUAUUCAGAAAAAUGAUUAUAGAAACUGUUUUUGACCCUUUUGACCCUCAAGAAACCGUGACUUGUCAAUUUGUAACCCAAGUGUUUUUUAUUUUUGACAAUUUAAGCCCUUGGUUUUAUGUUAGAAUAUGUUCAUCAUAACCUUAUAAGCUAUCAUUCUUGACUUGUUAGCUGUAAAAUUGCUUAGAUUAUGUUUGUUUCCUUUCUCAUGUCAUAAAUCUUGGGUUUACACCCCUUUUGUUAACAUAUUCAUCACAAAAACACAAGAAAUCACACACGUACAUGCAUAAAAUCACACAUAGCAUACACAUACACAUAGAUCUAUACAUUUUCUUGUAUUCUCCCGCAUAAAACUCAUGAAAAACAAAAAGAAAGGGGUAUGAAGCUCACCUUGAGUUGUGGUUUCGGUUUUGAAGAAGAUUGGGAGAAGUUUGGUCUUAUUUUCGGCCCUAGCAAGUUUCUUGGAUGGAUCUCGAACUUAGUGGGUUCUAAGAUGCAAGAUCAUGAAUUUGAAUGGAUUAAGAGAUGAUUUUUUGAUGAAAAGAAGUGAGUUAAAGCAUGGAUCAAACAUCAACGUACCUUAGGUUUGUGAUAUUAAGAAGAGAUUUCUUUGUAGCCCUUGUGAGUCUCGAAAUUUUUGAGGGAGAGUGUAAGGAUGUUCUAGUGAGAGUUUGAGAGAAUGAAGAUAAAUUUUGUGAGUGUGUGUGUGUGUGUUCGGCCGAGAGAAGAAGGGAGGGGAAGAGAGAGACCUUGAUGAGAUGUUUGCUUGGAAGUAUGAAUUGCAUGCAUGGAGACCCAACAAAUAAAAAUGAGGUGGCAUAAAAGUCAACUCUCCUUUCUUCAUGCUUUGAGGUUGGGCCGAGAAUUAGAGAAAGAGAAGGAAAUUUUUGGGCCUUUGGUUUUUAAUCCAUAUUAUGGCUUAAUUAGAUGAUUCUUGGCCCAAAAAAAUUCAAGAUAUGAUUUUUAUGGCUCAUUAGGGCUAAUUCGGUUAGUUAUGGCCCAAUGAGGUCCAUUAAAGUAUUUUAUUUCAUUCUAGGCCCAAUAUGGGCGAAAAUAUUAAAAUAAAUAAAAGUGGGUCCAAUUAGAGCCCAUUUAAGAGUUCUAAGUCCAAGAUAGUCAAAUUGGAAGCUUAUUGGCCCAUUGGGUCCUAUAAGGAAAUCCUAGUCCAGAAUGGACUUAAACCGGGAUUUCUAGGGUUUCCAAUUCUUUGUUGACUAUUUGCAGUGCUUGUAUGAAAUUUUUGAUUGAAUUUUGUUGUUAUUGAAUAAACAUCUUACAUGCUUUCACAUUGUUGGUUCACAUUUGUUAUCAUUGUUCCAUGUUUACAAGGCAUCGAAUUUCCUAGUUGUGACAGAAAACUACACCUUUUUGAGUCAGGGUGGUAAGGGGUUUUUUGCAGUACUGCAGAAGUUCUGUAUGAAUCUGCGGUAAUAGCCAACAAGGCCUAGGAAUUGGCGAAUUUUGGUCGGGGUCUUCGGUUUUGACCAAUUUUUGAUUGCCUUGAUUUUGGAAGGUUCAACAUGGAUUACCUCUUCACUGACCACGUGACCUAGGAAGUCCACCUUCCUAAUCGAAAACUCACACUUCGUGAACUUUGCGUAAAGUUUUUCUGCUCGUAGUGUCUCCGAGACUUGUCUCAGGUGUUGACCAUGUUCUUCUUUACUCAUUGAAUAAAUGAGUAUGUAAUCUAUGAAUACAAUCCCAAAUUUUUCUAGGAACGAACGACUUACCCGAUUCAUUAAGUCCAUGAACACAGCGGGUGCAUUGGUUAGCCCGAAAGGCAUCACUACAAAUUCGUAGUAACCGUAUCUUGUUUGGAAAGCCGUCUUAGGAAUAUAACCUUCUAGGUCUCGUAGCUGGUGAUAUCCCGAUCUCAGAUCGAUCUCUGAAAAGUAAUUUUCCCCCUGGAGUUGAUCGAACAAAUUGUCUAUUCGUGGCAAGGGAUACCGGUUUUGUUUAGCUCUCGGUAGUCGAUGCACAUUCGAACGAUCCAUCUUUCUUCUUCACGAAAAAAAAAUCAUGCUCCCCAAGGUGAGAAGCUUGGUCUGAUGAAUCCUUUGCUGAGCAGUUAGUUUAGUUGACUGGAUAAUUCUUGCAUCUUUGUCGGGGCUAAACGAUAUGAUGCUUUGGCUAUAGAGACGGCUCUAGGAUUUAAGUUGAUUCUGAAUUUGGCUUGUCUUGCAGGAGGUACUCCUGGUAGAUCUUCGGGAAAGACAUUGGGAAAAUCACAGACAUCAGGCACGCUCUUAAUGUCUUCUACUCCUCGCUUUACAUCCACAACGUGUGACAAGAAUGCAUGGUAUUCCUUGCAUAAAUAUUUUUGACCAUUGAUGCAAGAGAUGAUAUGAAGAUUUGUACUGGGUUUAUCACCAUAAAUAACAAGAUUUUCUCCAUUUGGCAGAUUAAGGCGAACGGCCUUUUCGUAACAUAAAAUGUGCGCUCGAUGAGAACUCAGCCAUCCCAUGCCUAUGAUAACGUCGGAACUUUUUAUUGAAACCGACAUGAGGUUGAUUGGAAACGAAUUUUUGUUUAGUGCGAGCGUACAAUUUAAGUAUAUUUCUUUAGCGCCUUCUGUCUUUCUGUUAGCCAUUUCUACUAUGAAUGUUUCGCUUAAGGACUGGGGUGUUUGUUUGAGUAGAUUCUUAAAAUUGUGACUUACGAAUAUCCUCUCCGCUCCACUAUCAAAUAGAAUGCAUGUAUAAGAGUUAUCGAGGAAAAACGUACCCGUAACCACCGUGGGAUCAAAAAUGGCUUCCUCUUGGCCCAUUGCGAAUACUCGGCCUCUUCCACUAGCAUUCCCAUUGUUCGCUUUCGAACAGUUCCUUCGGAAGUGCCCCGUUGCUCCACACUCAUAACAAGUACGACCUACUCCAACAUUUACGCCUGAAGCAGCCGGUUGAGUUGGUUCCUUGUAAAAGCGGACAAUGUGUCCCUUCUUGUUGCACUUAGUGUAAUACAUUUCACGGCAGGGUCCGUGGUGAUGAAAAUUGCAUCUAUUGCACUUCGGUAGGUUGCCGAUGUACGAAUUUGUUUGUGUGGGGGUGGUAGGAACAGUAACAACGUAAGCUGUCACUAAUUGUUGCCUCUUGGGGUUCUCUUGCGUGGCCUGCCACUUUCUCUUGUUCAAGGGUUUCCUUCAGUCCUCUACCUUCUUCGGUGGCUUAGAAACAAGUGUAAUAGUACCCUGCUUAACACCAUAAUAUAUGAAUCGUUGAGCCAAGCGUUUCGCGCUGUCAAACGUGAUUGGGUUAGAAGGCAGAACAUGCCCUUGAAUCUGGGAUGACAAUCCCCAAAUGUACCUCUCCACCUUCUUUUGUUCCGGGUUUACCAUACCUGGGCACAAGGCUGACAAAUCACUGAACCUGCUCGUGUAAGUGGCUACGUACGAUCCAAUAAUCCUUAGGUUCCAUAACUCCUGCUCUAACUUUUGGAUUUUUCCCCUCGGGCAGUAUUCUUCCAGCAUCAAGAUUUUGAGAUCUUCCCAGCUCAUGGCAUUAUCAACUAGGAGAGAUAGGACUUUCACAUGGCCCUUCCACCAGGUGAGGGCUUGAUCAGAGAAAGUGCAAACAGCGAAAUUAACUUUUCUUGUUUUCGGGCAUGCACAGAUAUCGAAGACCAUUUCGGUCUUCUCGAACCAUUACAUAAGUGCAGUGACUCCUCCUACCCCGUUGAAAGUCUUUGGCUUCGCAUUUGAAAAUUCUUUGUAUGUGCAUUCCCUGAUAUGACCAUGGCUAGUGCCAUGAUUUAAGUGGUUGGUACUACUUCUAGUUCUUCCAGCGCCGUUAGUGUUUAUUUACGUAAGAGCAGCUACUACUGCUGCAGUGACAGUAGCCUGUACCAUGACGAGAUCAUAUUGUGGAGGUGGUUGCGGUGGCGUUGGUGUUGCGUUGUUGACGCGGCGUGCAGAUCUGCGAGGAGGCAUCUUACUGCCAAAGAAUUAACAAUGAAAGACAAUAAGUCUCUGAAUAUUUGAAAGUCGAGUGAUAAAAGGGUGGUUAUUUAGAAUUCUUCAUAUGUUAAUAUUCGACAUAAAAAUGAACUUGUGUUUGAUUCAUAAUAGUAGUUUAUAAAAUAACAGAUAAACCUAUGAAUUUGAGUGUUUCCCUCUCAAGGAUGGCUUGUAGCUCCCUCAUUUCUCUUAUUUAGGCGAGGGUUGCAUCCAUUUUGCCCUUUAGUGUCCUGGUGUGAACUCGAGUCUCAUCAUGUAGUUCGUCUAGGCGGCAUAUAUAUGUAGUGUUACUUUGUGCCGUUGCAUUGACUUCUCGAAUCCGGGUCAUUGAGAUCCUUGACUGGUCGAGGUUAAACUAUUUCAUUUACAAAAUACUCCUAUAGUAUUCUAAAUGUUAUGUUUGAUUCUAAAGAUUAUAUGUUUGGUAUGUUUUACAAUUGUCGUCCACUGCAACUAUUCCCUGACACAUGUUAGUCGGCUCUCGGAUAAAUAUAGUUGAUCAGGCUAUAUUCAUCCAAGUCCCAAUUACAUAUUCCAAGGCAUACGUGUAGUGCACAACUCAUCUAUAAUACUUCUAUAUUGUUUUCCUUAUGAUAUUGUUACUGUUAUGUAAUGUAUGCAUGUAUAUUUUUAAUAAAAGUAUAUUUUUUUAAAAGUAUAUCUCUUAAUCAUAGUGUUUUUGCCCAGUUGUGCUUAUAGUUAUAUAUUAAAAAUGGUUUCGAUAUACUUAGUUCACUAUAAAGAAUGCUCUGAUACCAAUCAAUCACACCCCAAACCUGAACGACGGAAACAUUCGGGGGCAGAGGACGUCAUGUACAGUAUCAUAAUAAUUGAAUAGUAAAGAUAGUACACACCACCAUCAUAUAUAUUUGAAAACAUCACAUGAUUGUUGUAUUACAUGUUUCAAAAGUCAAAUACAAUAUGAUGCUCCAAAAGAUGUUACUAACGCUAGAGCAUUAGUCCCUAAAAGUAGAUGCUAACCUGGUGUUUAGCGAUUCCCUGAGAAUACAAGUUAUUUCAAAGAAAAAGUGUCAACAAUUAAGUUGGUGAGUUCAUAAGUAGAUAUUUGUGUAAAUGCAUGCCAUUCGAAAGUUCAUGUUUGUUUUCCGGAAAAUCCGAUAUUUUCUUAUAAAAUGAGUUAUGAAUCGUUGUUUGUAUGAAAUGAAUGCAUUGAACCAGGAAAAACCUAUGUUUUCCAAAAAGUGAGAAUUAGUCUUAAAUGCCCAAGACUGUAACUUGUAAGUAAAUAUGUCAUACUUAAAAUGAUGAUGUAUAGUUUUAUUAGUAAAAAAAACUAUAGGAAGUUUGUAUUUUCACGUAAAAAUAACUAUAAUAUUACGUUUCCCGUAAACAUAAUACCAUAAUAAUUGACUAUCCUGUGAGUUAUCAUAACUGUGACAACCUGAAAUUUCCAUUCUGAACAAACCAUAUCAAACCAAUAGAAGUUAGAAUAGUUACAAUGAAAUUCUAGACUUUGGGCAUAAGUUUGACAGUUUUUCAGGAUUUACACUUAAGGAGAUAUCAGGAGAGUGGAUGCACUAGGGUUUUGUGCAACACUGUUAUUCCAAUACUCUAGGAUAUUAGAGUUCAUUCUAGGAAUAAAAAUAUUUUCUGCCAAAAAUCCCAGGACGAUAUAUAGAAAUUUGAACCAUAUUCAUUCAUUAGUUACAUUUCCAACUAGAGAAAAGCCGAAUUCUCUCUCGCGGAUCUUCGGGUUUUUAUCCCAAAUCGUGAGUACUUCUAUCUAGUUGUAUUAUAUAACUUAGAUCGUGUUUUAUAAGAUCAAAAUCAGAUCAAAACCCCAAGAUUCCGGAGUUUACUGCCCAAGAACACUUGGAGAGUAAACUCCUUUUUAAGGGCCAAAAGUGUGCCUAAUGUCCCUCAAAGCCUUGGAAAUCAAACUAGAAGCCACCAAUACAUGUUUAGACCACCAAAUCAAUUAGAAACAAAGGGUGAAAGUGAGUUCAUGGCCAAGGAAGUUCCUGGGCCGUGAACUCCAUUUUUAGGUGCCAAAACACCCUAAAAACCUUCCUUAAGCCAAGAGACUAAUUUAGACAUGUACCUAAAUGAGUUUAGGACUAGCAAACACCCUUAGAACACCAAGAGUAAGGUGUUCACGGCCUAAGAAGUUCUAGGGCUGUGAACUCCAUAAAAUAGUGCCAAAUGGUGCUAUAAACUCUCCUAAAGCCUUGGACAAUUUCCUUGCUUCAUUCUUAGUUAAUUUAGGGACUUGAAAACACCAUAAACAUGCUCCCAAGGGAGAUUACGGCCGUAAUAUCCAAGGGAUAUGGUCCCAGGGCCAUAAACUCCUAAAAGGAGUUAUAUUAUGCCCUAAACUCUUCCAUAGACCAAGCCAUUAACUAGAAAUGCUUAUUAGGGUCUUAUAGAGCAUCAAACAUCAAAUGGUAACCUAAGUAAGAGCUUACGUCCAUAAACUCAUGAGUUUACGACCGUAAACUCAUUUGCUAGUGUCAUUAAGGUCGUGAACUCCCUUAUGGAGUUUUCCUUGAGCCCUACACACAAUAGCUUCCUCUACANCUACAAACACUUAGAUGCAAUCCUAGAGGCUAAUAACACUUGAUAAAGGUGUUUAGCAUGUCCUAGGGUGUCUUGACUUGUUUAUUAGUUGUUUAUAGACUAAUUUGUUACAUAUAUGUGAAAUUAUAUGUUAACUAGGAUCAUAGAGUGUGUUCAAGACUUCACUUGACACCUAGCGGUCCUACCUCUUCGGUUCAUCCGUAUCACCCACAACAGGUGAGUUCAUACCCCUUAAUCAAUGUUUUAACUGUUUUUAAAUGUUUUAUGGGGGGGGAUACAAGUAGAAAUAUGCUAAUAAUUAUAUCAAUCACAUGUGAUUAAUAAGCAGCAUUCAAAUGAUUGGCUACUCAUUAGCCGUUUUACCAAAUAGUUUCCUUCAAAUGUUUUUCAUAAACACUUUAUGUGUUUAAAAGUCCUCACUACACUAUACCUUUUAUUCUGUAUGUUUCAAUUCAAACUUAUUUACAAUUGUGUUUCAAACAAAUGUUUCUGUAUACUAAACUAUUUUAUCAAACCCAUGCCUUCAAACUGUUUUAUAGAUUGACAUCAAGUCGAUCUUUUCUUAGAUGAUAAUUAUGUUCAAAGGUUUUACAAAACUUAUUUUAUUGCUUUUAUAUUAUAAAUUGCAUGCCUCUAUAUGUAUAGUUAUAUAAGAAAUGUUUAAAAGACUUAGGAAGGCAAUCCACCCUGUUUCCUUUUCCUCAAUUUGGAUGUGGUCUGGUGGAAUAUCGGGUACUCGUCCGAAGGGCGUUUAAAUAUUUGUUAUAUAUCAUGUGUACAUAUAUAGUCAUAAAGGUCCUUCUAGUUCAUCCAAUGCCCUUGGGUAGCAUGGGUAUACAUCCAGGUCCAUACGUACCAGUUAGAUUACUAGUAAACUACCUUAUGGGUAGUUUAGGAAGAUAGUAGAAUUAUUACUAGAACACGAUAUCAUACAAUGAGUCAGUUCAUUCAUGAGUCAAUACUUUCUAGAACAUUACAGUACGUUACUAUACAUGCUAGAUAGAGAGAGAACACACAUUACAGCUAGCACACAUUGAACAUUACAGUACAUUACUAUACUAUUACAUGAUGACACUUACAUGAGUAAAAUUACAUGAUCACACUUACAUGAGUACGCUUACAUAUACAUAGAACAGACGUCACUAGGUGCUAUAGCAUGGAACCAGUUCAGGAUCUAACUAUACUGAUGAAUCACAACGCAAUUGUGAUAGUUAUAUCGAGUAUACAUGAUCAUAGUAAUGUGGAUGCUCACGCCUUGGAUACAUGCAGGGGUCGUGAGUAGGUCCUAAAAUCCCUUUGAUAGGGGAGCGUAUAGUCUGGGAUCUAGACAUCACAUUAUACCUUAUCCCUCAAAUAAGGCAGUUGAGUACCGAUGUAGUUAUUUAUUACAAAUGCUACAAUACUUAGAAGAAUUACCCUAGACUGUAGGUAAUUGGUACGGUUGUAGUUCAACGCUACACCAUAGUACUAUUUCAUUUUCCCAUUACAUUCACUUCGUGAACAUUCACACGACGAAUGGUAAUGUAGAAAUUAUCUUUUUGAUCAAUGGUAGUCAGACUUGGGAAAAUACACACUCUUACAAGAGACACUAGAUGCCUUGGUAGAAGGAUACAUAUAGAUGAGUUAAGUCUUGGUAGAAGAAUCCCUUUUAUAAUAGGAGUCAUAGGGAUUUCUAGGGUUUUUCAAAUGUUAACAGCUGUUUUACAAACAUUUUCAUACUUACAGUUCAUAUACACUUUUAAUACUUACAAAUUCUUACUUACAAAUUCUUACAUACAAAUUCUUACAUACAAAUUAAGACACUAAAAUACUUAUGAUCUCACCAGCUUCAAAGCUGAUACUCGCUUUCAAAAUUACUUGUAUCCUCAGGUCAUCAUAGACAGGUUCCGAUGCAAGGUUUAGAGAAGAUGGAGCAUGUUCAAGAAUCAUCUUUCAUUUUGAUUUAUGCUUUAGUGUUUAUCAAAAUUUGACAGAAAACACUUAUAUAAUAAUUAUAUUAUUAAUGCAAUCGAUGAUGUUGGUGUUUGUUUACUAUUUUUCAUUGUUGUGAUACUGUACAUGACGUCCUCCGCCCCAGAACAUUUCCGCCGUUUUUGGUUUUGGGGUGUGAGAUUGGUAUCAGAGCAUUGUUUAUAGUGAAUUAAGUGUACCAACCCAUAAAAAAUAUACUUGUUGGGUUUUGAGCAUUCUAACACUCCUAAGUGUACAUGCAACUCUAAAUACCUUGGAUCUAUGUUUUCUCUAUUAUACAUGCAAAUAUGAACAUCCAAGGUAUUAUCUUAAUCUAGUAUACAAAACAAGGUGGGUAACAAGAUAGAAUACAUACCUCCUUGAUGUAGAAAGUCUUCAUGAAGCUUGAGUGCCUAGUGCCCCAAGUGUGACACCUCAAAUGGUUCACACAACACCAAAUACAAAUGGAAUGACUUGAGAGAACUCUACACUUCAUGAAAAUCGGCUAGCCCUUCUUACUCUCUAUAGUGGCCGAUUUUGGUCAAGAAUAAGAUGCUUAUAUAGUUAGGGUUACACCAUGUAAACCCUAAUUGACAUGGCCUUUCAUUUCCAUGAUCCAUGGGUACAAAUACACCAUGGAGCAUCCAUGGAGCAUCCUAUGGGUUUUAGCCCAACUUGAUUAUCCAUGGAGCAUUAGCCCACUAUACAAGUAUGGAUGAUUUACACAAUCAACCCAUAUAUUUAAUUAGUCUUCUUUUGAUCACUUAAUUAAUCCUAGAUUAAUUCUUGAUCAAUACUAAUUAAAUAAUCUUAUUAUUCUUAUUAUUAAUAUACUAGAACUUAUAAUAUAUUAAUAACCAUAAGUGUCUUAUUUCUCUCAUUAUAGUCUAUCCAAGUGCAUGAUGGUAUGCAACCCAAAUGGACCAUGCCGGGUCGGGUCAAGUCUUACCAAUUAUAGUUAUGGACUUAGACAUUAAUCCAACAGUCUCCCACUUGGAUAAGUCUAAAACUAUUAUUGCGUAUGACUUCAGGAACCAACUGGCAAUCGUAGCUCUCAAAAGCUUCUGUCGAACUCUGACCUUGUAGAUGAACUCUGACCUUUGUCAAUGACUUGUCCAUUAGAUAAGGGAUCAUAUAUUCCUCCAUUCUAGAUAUCAUAUGGACUGAGACAUGGAUUAUAAUCAUUCUCUCUGUCCAUUUGUUGUUUCCCGAUUUCCGAUUUAUGACGACUGACUAAUUGAACAAAUCAAAUCAGUCCUGGCCCGGCCGAGCACUUCCAUUUGUCAUCAUCAAAUCAUCGAGGGGCCCACAGAUAUCGCUUUUAUCCCGAAGGUAAAAGGAAUGGAUAAACUUCGACUCAUAUGGCUUGUUCUACUACUUGUUGAAUCAUACACAAAGGCACGUUUUAUAGCACCGAGUUACCAAAUGCGUUUUCGUGCAAUCAAUGUACUAUCAACUCAUAGUAACAACUCAUAUCUCUAGGUUUGAAGAAUAUAAGAUAUUAUCGUCUCAUGAUCACUCGUGAUAAAAUCCAUGAAGUGAUUCCAAUGAGCGCGGGUUGAAUCCAAUACUCAGAACUUAUGAGCACUCAUGAGUGUUGUAGCCCUUUGUCCAACACCUUAGACCUCUACAAGCCAACCCAUGACAGUCUUAAUUCAUAUCUACUUCCAACAUAUGACCGACUGUGGAUGGUUUGAAUAACUUAGUCAUUCCGGAAGAAUAACCUAGUUUAUUCGGGAAGUCAAAACAUGCAAAGUGAAACACAAUAAUAAUUGAAUCCAAUAUGGUAUCAAAACUUUGAACAUAAAUAAAACACCUUUUAUUUAUCACCAUAUGAUUACACAUUAUUCAUUGUAUACUGUUUCAGCUAUCAACUUUAUUCUUGAAUUUAAAACAAUAGUUGUCCCAUGCUCCAAGCAUGUACACUAUGUUUUCUUAAACACUAGUCAUGCCACACACCAAGUAUGCAUACUAUGUUUGUCUAUGAUCUUUACUUUGUGAACUAGAUCAAUUGAACAUAACUUCAAUGAUUCUCUUUUCACACUCCCAAAUCCUUACUGCAAAUGCAAGAAUUCCAAAUUCAUGCCAUUUACUGAAAUCUGUUAGAUUCUAAACUUAUAUGCAUUGAUCCUCUUGUAAUGAUUAUGCACAAAGUCAGAAAGACUUGACAACAAUCAUUACAGAGUAUUCCAAAGGAGAUCAGCUCCUUGGAAACAUCCUUCUUGCAUUAAGUUUCCUAAUCUUAAACAGAUUGAAAAUUCUAACUUUGAAACAUUUCCAGAUUCCAUUUUGACUAUCACUUCUGAACAAGAGUUGCCUCCUUACAGAUUAUGUCAAUAUGGUCCUUCCAGAAUUAUCACUAUACUUCCAACUGUCCUUGAGCAACCAAUCUUUGGUAAACCUUAGAUUGUCCUCGACAAUUGUUUAAUCCUUUUAGUCAUAUCCAGUUCUAAACCUUUUCCCUUCUUAAUGCCCCAGGCAUUUGGAAAAUUUUAGAACGGAUGAAUAUAGCACAUGUAAUCGAUCCUAUAUCCGAAGCAUAUGGGACACGAUUCAUGAUGUCUCACAUAAAGACUAAACCAGUCUUUUGCUAUAACAUUUCCAUUUCAAUUUGCCAAGUUCUCAUAAUUCAGAUUAUGAAAAGGGAUGCCGUAAUCAUAAUCGAAUUUUAGAACGCAAAUAAUGGACCCAUAUACAGAAUUUCCUUAUGUUGAGCCAUUCCAACAUGAAAUUCAUAUAUAUCCUUGACUAAAUGAUUAAAACCUCACGAUCUAAGCUUAUAGAUUUGAGAUGAAGUAUAAUUUCCUCUCCCUUAAUUAUAGCAAAACAACUUUUUCCCAAUUGAAACUUUUGUUUUCUAUAAUUAACAUUGCUAACUUGCAAUACUUAUCAUAAUUAUCAUGCUCCCACUAACAUGAUGAUUAUUAGCAUAACACUUAUGCUCCCACUAGCUUUGACAUGUACUCAGAAAUCAGCUGGACUUCUAGAAAUCAAUACUUCAUUGACUUUCUUACCAAAGUUCAGAUUUCUGAUACUAGAUUGUUUUGAUAAAACUUUAUCAAAAUCAUACACCUUCCCUUAGAUAGCACACUUGUGUAUCUAAACAAUUAUGAAGAGGGAUGCCGUAAUCAUAAUGUUUAGACCUUUUUGCCACUUCUCACAAGUCCAAGUUAGUGUGCCGGUUAACCACACGCGCUCCACUAACGACUUUGAGAAUGCAAAUAUCACAAUUGCUAUCUAGCUAAAAUCUACUUAGUGAAAGUGUUUCCUCACCAUCAUUUUCAUGAAUCGGAGAGAAACCUUAUGACACUUAGAUUUAAUGGUGUAUGUGUUCUUAUCCAUGUGAAUUGUCAAAAUCAUAGUCACAAGACAAGGAUAAUGACAAAUCCAAACUCAUAUGGACUGAACUCAAUCUUAAUUUCUUGCCACCUGGCAGCUCAAGGGCCUACCAUUGCUUCCAAGUUGUUGUGCAACAAAUUGAGAACUCUAAGAACUCAUAUGCAAAGCCAACUUUAACUGGAAUGGGCACAGAAUAUGUCAACACGAUAGGUUAUAAACCUCAAGUCGUGUGCUAGUGAAGAACUUCAGGUUUUAUUCUUGAUUAGUUCUUGAGACUUUCAAGACCUUUAAGACUCCCACUGUCCUCUUGACAUAUAAGACUCCCUUGUCAAACAUCCAAGAGAUAGUGCGGAUUCUAAUCAAGAAAAACACUUUACCCAAUUGGCCUAAGUUGGUCUUUGUUUUAUCCAAAACAUCACAACUUACCAAUUUCAAAUGUACAAGAGUAGAAAACUUUUACUCUUACAUUUGACAAGUGUUUUAAACCUUCUUUAAGAC
This 62996-nucleotide long non-coding RNA is filed under the name Lactuca sativa (garden lettuce). RNAcentral describes it as "long non-coding RNA (LSAT_LNC006599)". The stretch from base 36933 to 37039 matches the Rfam family "Plant small nucleolar RNA R71". Lineage: Eukaryota; Viridiplantae; Streptophyta; Magnoliopsida; Asterales; Asteraceae. The record is from RNAcentral.